GCUCUAUGAACUUGGAAGGAAGAUAUGGUCAACCAAAGGAGAAGAGCAGGAAACAGCCAAGAAGGAAUUCAUAGAGUGCCUCAAGCUUCUGGAAGGAGAGCUUGGAGAGAAGCCUUACUUCGGCGGUGAAAAAAUUGGGUUUGUGGAUGUGGCUCUGGUGACCUUCUCUUGCUGGUUUCAUGCAUAUGAGAGCUUUGGAAACUUCAGCAUAGAGGCGGAGUGUCCCAAGUUGAUAGCUUGGACCAAGAGGUGCAUGGAAAAGGAGAGCGUGUCGUCUUCUCUGGAAGACCCACACAAGGUCCAUGGCUUUGUUAUGGGGAUGAGAAAGAAGCUUGGCAUAGAAUAACUAUUUUGUAGUGUUGCUGUGGUAAUAUUAGAUAUAUGUGAGUGUUUGGCUGUUUGCUUAAGUUUUUGCUUUGAAAUUGUAUGGUUACUAUUUGCAGUUGAAACCCCUUUUGGAGGGUUGGUGGGUUUGCUGGAAAGAAAUGUUUUGAAUUUGUUUUCAUUUGUUUUGGACUGGACUAGAGAGGUGUUCUUUGUAUUCCAUCAUUUCGUGUCAUAAACAAGUAUUAACACAAGUUGGAUAAGGCAUGCCUCUGGCCCUUUAUGGUAACGUACAAAGAUAUCAUGGGCCUACAAAGAUAUCAUGGGCUACAGAAUAGGUUAGGGCCCGCUUUUUAAAUCACUUUUUUUAACUAAUAUGUUUGGCAAAAGAUGUUCUUCAAUAAUUUAAUUCAUCUUCCUUGUCGGUCAUUUUAAGUAACAAGAAAAUGAAAAAGAAAUAAGAGAAAAGUUCAAUCACGUUCCAUAAUGUUUGUUUUUGAAAAUUGCUUUUAUGUUAAACAAACAAAAAUAAUUUUUUAAAAUUUUAUAAAAUUUUAUAAAAUAAGGAUGUUUGACAAGUUAUUUUGAAAUUGGUUUUUCUUUUAAAAAAAAAUAAUUUUUCUAUGUUGAUUUUGUAAAAAUAUUCUAAAUUUAAUUAAUAGAAAUUUAAUUGAGGUCUUAUAAAAAAUGAAAUUAGUUUUAAAUUAUAAAUAAAUUAAAAAUAGUAUAAUAUAUCAGCGUGGACCUAUUUUUUUUACGUGCGUCCUCACUCGACGAUGAGACUCGUUUUUUAUUUAUUUGGUGAAAAAUAUGAUUUUUAGAAAAAGAUUUGAAGUCCUCAUUGAUUUUUGUUUUAUUUUUCAAGGGAAAGACAAAAUAAAAAAUAAAAACCCUAAAUAUGAUUUCUGAAGGAAAAAUAGGUUUGUGAAAAAUCGAGUUUGGGUUUGGGGAUCAAGUUACUUAUUAGGAAGGUAUGGUAAUGAGUUAUAACACCCCUCUAAGCUCGUUUAUGUACGACCUCUACUAAAUGAAUUAAGGAAAUUGUGACAAUUAAUUAAUUAAUUAUAGAUACCAAGAAAAAUAAUCAUGUAAAUGAGUAUGUACAAGUCAAGGUGAAAAUUAAUAUACACAAAAAUAAUGAUGAAAUCUAAUUACAAGAAUACACAAAAUAAAUAACAAAAGAAUUAUGCAAAAAUAAUUUAUUGAACUAAAUAAAAAAUAUUAAAAAAAUAGUUUUCAAGAAAUUUCGAAGGAUUUUAUUAAAAAUGAUUUUUAAUUAAUGAUUUUAAUUUUUUUUAUUUACAAAAAAGAAGUUUCAAUUUAUUUUCAAUUAAUGAUUUGAUUCAAUUUCAUUUGUAUUUAAUUUUUUUUAAAAAAAAAGUUAUUUGCACUUAUUAUAUCAAAAGAAUUUAUUACAAAAUUUCAAUUUGGUAAUAAAAAUGAUUUUUACUUGCUUUUACAAAAAAAAUUACAAUUUUAUUUACGAAAGUAUUUCACUUUGUUUUAAUUUGAGAAAAGUGACUUAUACAAAUUAUUAAAAAGAAUAUAACUUUAUUUGCAAAAGAAUUUUUAAUUAAAAAUUAAUUUUUGGGACAACUUUAUUUACAAAAUAAUGUUUGGACAAUUUUUAUUAAACAAAUAAAUUUUUGGACAAUUAUUAUUAAAAAUAAUUUUUCAAAUUCUAUUAAAAACAAUUUUUUUGGAUUUUUCUAAAAGCAUUUUUUUGAAUUUUUAUUAAUAAAAAAAACUUUCUUUUAUUAAAAAGAAUAUUUUAAAAUUAUUAUUUUAUUAGAAUAUAUUUACUAAAUUAUUCCUCUUAUUUAAAUGACAAUUUUGAUUUGUUAAAUAUUUAAUUCUGUAUAUACUCAAUAAAUAUAUACAAACUAAUAUUUACAAGAACUAAUAGAAAUAAAAUCAAACAGAAGUGAGCAAUAAAACGUGUACCCAAAUAAGGUUACAACAAGCUUAAUGUCUCUCUACAACUUUUUUAUUCUUACUUUCUUCCAUGAAAUUUUGUGCUUCACGUGUUAUAAAUUUGUACUCAGCCAAUAGAAUUGCAGAAUAGGCCCAUGCAAAAACAAAAAUAGUUCAAAUGUAAAUAUCCAAAGGUGUACAAAAUCCUUAACAAAUAUUCAAACUCAAAUUCAAAUUUCAAAUUAGUUCGAUAAAUCUUGUCAAUCAAAAUGGACACAAAUUAACAAAUAUAACCUAACAAAAACAUCUCACAUGCUAUAAACCUUAAUCCAAAAAUUUCAAAUUAAUAACCAAAAUACAACACAAUUAGCCAAGCCCAAAAUAUCACAAAAUAAAAUAAAUUCAAUUAGGCCUAAAUUUAAUAUUUCAUAAUCCAAGCCUAAUUUAAUAUACACCAUAAUUGUCCCACAUCCAAAUUAAAUAGUUCAAAUUGGUGAAGCUCAUAUCAAAUAUUCAAGUCAUCAAUCAAAUUUCACCCACAUUGUGGACCCAAAAUCCAUACCUAUAUUAUGGGUCCAAAAUUCAUAUCAAUUAACAAGCCCACAUUAAUAAUACACAUGACCAAAGAAAAUAAUUUCCCAAGCCCAAUCCAAUAAGCCCAAAUAAAUAACAUUAGAUUCAAGUCAAAAUCAAUUACUAUGCAAACAAAAAUAAAAAAAUAAAGAUAAAAAAAUGAAAAUAAAAUAAAGUAAAAAGGAAAUUUACCCUUUUUUUUUAUAACUAUGGGUGGUAGGAUUGCUAGUCGGCAGUGACUGGCAGGUAAUGGCGGGUGGUGGCGGGCAGUGGUUGUCGGUAGUGGUGGGUGGUGGUUGGCCGGUAGUGGCCGUGGAGUGUGGGGAAGGGAAAAGGAAAGAAAAAGGAAGAGAAAAAAAAAUGAAGGAAGAUGGGGAGCGUGUGACAGUGGGGGUUUGUGGAAAAUGGCAGUGUAGAGAGAAGGACUAUGAGAAGAAGAAAAAAAAAAUGGAAGAGAAAAUGGGGACCAUCGUGUGUGAUAGUUGGGGGGAAGAAAAAAAAAAGAAAAAAGGAAGGGAGGAGAUGGGAGAGUUGACCGUGUUUGGUGUGUGGGUCGUGGAGCGGUUGUUGUGUUGGAAGGGAGCCUGAAGAAGAAAUGAUGGAGGAAAAAAAAGUGAAGAGAGGAACGUAGAGAAAGAUGAUAAAAAAAAAAAAAAAAAAAAAAAAACUUGGAGGGGGUAUGGGGAGUGGCUUAGACAUGUAGGAGAAGGAAAUGGGUAAGGGAAGUAGGUGGAGUGGGUAGAAUGAGGGGAAAGAGGAAGAGAGAAGAGAGAAGAGAGUGAAAAUAAAUAAAAUUAAAUUAAAAAUAAAAAUAUAAUAAUAAUAAUAAUAAUAAUAAUAAAUAAAUAAAUAAAUAAAUAAAAAUAAUAAUAAAAAUAAUAAUAAAAAUAAUUUAUAAAAUAAUAAAAACUAAGAAUUAAAGGGUGUAAGUGGGCUAAACAAUUAAGAUGUAAUCAAAAUUUAAAUCUAAGGAUAAAAUUGAGCUCAAUAUCAAUGUAAAAAUAAAAUUAGGACAAAUUUUGGGGUCUACAAUCGGUUUUCAUAUAUUAUUUCUUAUGGUGAUUAGAUCUAUUUACUAGGUUGUAACUUAAAAAAAAAAAAAAAAAACCUAUUAGUAAAUUCAAUGUUACUUGAUUUGAAGUUUAUUCUUUAAUAAAAAAAUUUAUAAAAAUAUAAGUAUGUAUAGAAAAAAAGUAGACUCAUUAAAACCCAAUUUUUAUCCAUAAAUUUUUAAUAUUAACCACUAUUUAAGUUUUAAGUUAUUUAAAAAAAUUACUAAACUCAUUAAUUAAUUUAAUGUAUUAAGUUUUGUUUAAUUUGGAUUUUAUUUGUCUAGUGAAAUAAAUAAAUAAAAAAUAUAGUUUCAUGUAGAAGAGAAACAAUAGAGUCAUUGUAGAUUAGAACUAGAAGUUAUAAAAAAUAUGUAAAAUAUAUAUAAUUAUAUAGCUGGAGUUUAUAUUAUAAAUUAUAAAGUUAAAAAAAAUAUAAAAAACUACCUUCAAUGUAAUUUCUAAUUUCUUUUAAUUAUAAUGUAUAAUCAAAAGUUAGACAAAACAAAAUUGUACACUCAUAAGUUAAAUAAUGAAUAUUUCAUAGCCUCAAAGGUGUAUACAAUUUUACACAUUUUUGUUAUGAUAAAAAUAAUCCAUAGCCAAAAACUAUGAAAGCGAUCAAUUCGUAAUUUUUAUUUUGUUAAUAUUACAUGAUGUUCAUGCAUUUUUUUAAACCAUAUUUAUAAUAAUCCUAUAGCGAUAAAAUAUAACAAAAUCUUAAAUCGUUAUAGUUUUAUUAUAGAAUAUUAACUGGAUAAAUAUUGUUAGAUAAUUUAAUUAAUUUAUUUUAAUAAAUUAAAAUAUUAUUCUAAUAAAAUUAUUUCAAAUAUUAUUCUAAUUUAAAAAUUACUAGACUGUUAAGUCUUGUUUAAUUUUGAGUUCAUUUAUAUAGUAAAAUAAAAUUGGAAAAUAUGAUUUCAUGUAGAAGAAAAAUAAUAGAGUUGUUAUAGACUAAUUUUCAUCCAUAAAUUUUUAAUAUUAAUUACAUCAUUAUUUGAGUUUUAAGUUAUUUCUAGAAAUUACUAAAUUUAUUAAUGAAUUCAACACAUUAAGUUUGGUAUAAUUUUAAGUUUAUUUGUCCAAUGAAACAAAAUUGGAAACAAUAAAGUCAUUCAAGUUCAAUUUUUGUCCAUAAAUUUAUGGUAUUAAUUGGAUCACUAUUUGCAUUGCAAUUUAUUUUUAAGAAUUACUUAGACUUGUUAAUAAAUUCAACGCAUUAAGUCAUACUUGAUUUGGUGAUUAUUUACUAAGUGAAAAAAAUUGUAAAAAUAUGAUUAUAUGCAAAGAAAAAACUAGCCAAGACAUUUAAAUGAAUUUUGGUGUAUGAUAUUCUAAUGUUAGUGAGUUUCAUGACUUUAUAGUACUAACUAAAUCAAUUUUUGACUUUUAAGUUAUUUUUAAAAAUUAGUAAAUUUUAUGUAUAAAGUAUAAUUUGAUUUAGAAUUUAUUUUAUCAAUGAAAAUUUUCUUAAAUUAAAUGAAAUUCAUUAAAACACAUGUAAUUUAAAAGAAUAUUAUAUUUGAAGAUUUUUAGUAUCGGUAUUAGAUCGUAGAAAGAGGUAAAGAAGAAUGAUAUCAUCUUCAAUCUUAUUUGCUUUUUAUAGUUUUUUUAAAUUCCUCUAUAUUUUUCUUUUGCUUUUAAAAAUUGAUGAAAACAAUUUCUACUUGUUUUCUAAAAUAUGUUUUUUAUUUCACUUUAUUUUUAAAAAUUACAAAUAGAAAACAACUAACAAACAAUUUUAUGAAUUUUUAAAAAUAGUUUUUUUUUUAAUUUUUAAAAACAAAAGUUAUUUUUUAAUGAAAUGGCCAAAUGGGCUAAAAACUUUUCAACAGCAAAUUUUGAGAAUUUGGGUCAAGUGCUAUGUGCUCUUGUACAAUCCUCCACUAUUUUUGGCCUUCAUGUCACCGUUGUCAACUUUUACUGUGAAUAAGUUCACGAGCUUAUCUUACUUUAUAUUCGAGAGCAAGGAACAAGAUCUUGAGAGAUGCUUGGUUUGUUUUUUUUUUUGUAUUAAAGAAAUAAAAGAGUAUUCACUUACUAUUCCAUUUUGUACUAAAAAAAUUUGAUAAGACAUUGAUAGGCAUGUAAAUAUUAUAACAUUUAAAUAAACUAAAAAUAUUUUUGUUAUAUUAUUUUAAUUUUAAUUUUUGAACUUUCAUAUUAACGUUCGUUUUAAUUUUUCAUAUGAUUUAAAAUUGAUCAUGGUUCUAACCUUUUACUAGGCUAAAAUCUUUAACUUUUUUAGAUACAUAAAAUAGAAAAUAAAAUAUAUUUUCAUAUAAAUUGUAUUAACAUUUCUUUAAUUAAUUUUUAUAUUUCUUAAAAUACAUAUAUCUUAAAAUACAUAUAUCUUUUUUAAAAAAUAAGUACAUCAUUUAGAAAAAUAGGUACAUCUAAUAUAAAAACAUGUACAUUUCAUUUCAUCGGGGAUUCUUAUCCUCAUUCAACCUAAUUCGGGUGUGGGAUUUCACUUAUGUAGGUCUCAGAAUGCAUUUGAGGUCUUCUUAUACCCUAUUCAACAUGAUAUAACUUUGUGUACAUGUUUUAAAAAAAUGUAUAAAAGUUUAGAAAAGUAUUUACAUCUAAUUUGAGUUGAAUCAUUCCCUUAUUCGACCUAUUUUGAAUCUAAAUUUUAACUUCUAUAUACCUCAUGAUGCAUUCCCAAACCCUAUUUGGCAUGGUAGAACCCUAGGUACAUAUGUUACAAAAAUAAGUAUACUCUUAAGAAAAAGUACAUCUUUUACAAUAAUAACUAUAUUCUUAAAUAUAUAUAUAUAUAUAUAUAUAUAUAUAUACAUUCGUAAGAAAAAUGCAUAUAUUUGAUUUGAGGUUAACCAUGAUCCAAUUCAACCUAAUUUGGAUAUAAGAUUUGACUUAUAUAUGCCUCAAAAUGUAUUUUAUGCCUUCCAAAACUUCAUGUAGCAUGGUAGAAGUAUAGGUUCUGAAAAGGUGAAUCUCAAUAGUGGAAUACACCUAAAGGGGGGUUGAAUAGGUGUUUUGACCAAUUGAACAAAAUCUCAACUCAAAUUAGUAAACCUUAAAACUUCUUGAAUAUUUUUCUUCUCUUCACAAAGUCUAAAAAACAAAUUAUAAAUCACAUGAAUAUAUGAAUGCAACAACACUCCCCAACAAUAUUCAAAUGAAAUUCACAUGCACAUGAUCUAAUACUCCUAAACCCAAAUCAACUUAAAACUAAAUUAUGAUAAAAACAAGAUCAAUAUACAUCAAAAUAUCAAUGAUUAACAAUCAGAAAUGACUUCAAAGAUAAUUCAUAGCCAUUUCUCUUUAUCAUUCAAUCAAAUACUAGACAAUCAAAAUUAUAAUAAAUUGUAGAAACUAAAAAAUGAUGCGAAGAAGAGAAAACGAGACAAUGAGACACCAUAAAUUUACAUGGAAAAUUUUUGAAGAGAUAAAAAACCAUAAGCCUACUACCAAUCAAAAACAUCCACUAUGAAGAAUAAAAACUAAAUACAAGGUUUUACCUAGCUCAAGCCAACUAAUCCUUCCCGGACCACUUGACUAGUACCUUCACUUUUAGUUUCUCACAUUCUUAUUUUAGAGCACAUUUGGAGUCUACACCAAGCUCGAUCUCGACCUCUUAUUGAUUUCACAUAAGAAAAAAAUGGGUUUUUGUGCAAAACCAAGAGAAUUAGAUAUGAAUGUUUCAAAAAUCAACCCAUGCUCAUUUUCAAAAAAUCCAUUUUAAAAAAAUUUCUUAGAAAACUUGGAUGGAUUUUCUUCGUAGGUAAACACCCUUAAAAUGGUGAGGAAAGAAAAAACUCUCUCACAACUAUUGUAGUCACCACUUAUAGAGAUGGAAGAGAUUUGAUUUUAAAUGAGAAAGAAACCCUUAAUCGAAGGGUUGAAAGUUGAUCUUAAAAAUAGGUUGGUUGGAUCAAUCUGCCUCUACACUUAGAUCAAUCCAAAAACAGGGGAACAAAAGCCUUGUGCUAAUAAUAUUUCUCCUUGUUUUCUUAACUCAUUUAAAGAUGAAAAAACAGGGUUGAUUCAUAUUCAAUCACCACACUCGACUAUAUACCUCAGCCUCUUAGCAAAGUUUUAAUCUUCAAAGGUCAAGUAGUCCGAAGAGGGAUUUGUAAACUGAGUUAGGGGACACUUAGGAAUUUUGUUUGAAAUUACCAACCUAGCUAAACACUCACAAUCUCCUCCUUUGGCAAUUCUGGGACAAAACUCUUUACAAUACGAAUGAGUACAAGUAAGUAAGUCCCACCCAACUCUCAUACAAGGCCACACACUCACUCAAAACCUCACCAAAGGUGCUACAAAUCCUAUAAAUAAAUCUCAAGAAAAAACUUUAGGAGCACUUGCACAUAUUACCAAGACACUUCCAUAAGUUUCGAAUGAAUUGAUACACAAAUAUCCACAUAUAUCCACAAAAUCACAUGUCUAAAGAUAGUUAAUAUGCAUUCAUGAGUUCAAAAACGUGUCAAAUAUCCAUCGAUAUACAAAAAGGGUGAUCAUGAUCAACAUAUCAAAUAUCCAAAGCAACAAAACACAAAGAAACCGUCAUGAUCAACUACAUGUCAUAUCAACAUCCAUGUAAAAUGUAAAAUGUUUCCUAAUUUUUGUCCCAGUAGGAGACAAAAGGUCAUAAUCUCCCAUUUUCUAUCUUAGAAAAAAGACAAAUGAAUGAGAAUUCAAUAGCAUAAUAUCUCACAUCCAAAUCAACAAACAUCCACUUUUCAACAAAAUGUCAAAUACCCAAAAAUCAAAUAUUCACAUAUUACCAAGUAUCCAUAUCAACAUUUCAGAAAAAAAAAAUUAUAGGAUACAAUAAUCUCCUCUUGACUCCCAUCACAAGAUAUAAGAAUCUCUCCCUGAAUCCUAUCACAUGGUUUCAAUUAAAAACUUUCAAAAAAUAUGCUUUAUCACCAUGAAAAUAGAUUUCAAGCAUGAAAAUUUAUGGAAACCACUCAAAAUGAACAACCAAAGCCUAGGAUUAGCAUUCCUAGAAACUAGGAACACUCCAAGGCAAAAAUGAAAUCUCAAACUAUUAAAACUAUUGUGAGAAGACUCCACACACAAAAAAUAAAUAAAUAAAAUCCAAAUGAGACUAAGGGCUGAUUGGAAUUUCCAGAAGUGUAGAUUGUGUUGUGUUGAUUGUGCUGUGAAAAACAUAGUCCUAAGGGUUGAUUGGAAUUUCCAACUGCUGGAACGGAAUCCCAACUACACAAGAUACAAUCUAGUGACGCACAUUGGAGGUCCUAGCCAACACAUACUAUGUAGAAGGCAAUUUCUGACAACACCGACGCACUAAGAAGAGACACACAGACCGACGACAUGAGUUGGACAACACAACAAUUCUAGGCUAUUCGACGAGGCUGUUUGGUGGGAUUGGCUAGACUUGAAACGCUCACCAGAUAGGGAAGUCUGACUAUAAAGGUUUCCAAUGGUAGAGACUUAUGACGGUAGUGGUCGGAAUGAUGAACCGACGAUGAUGGCUAAAGAGAAGCAUAGAGUAGAGAAGUUUCCUUCUUUAGAACAAAAGACCUAGGGCUUUUGAAAGAAAUGAAUUGGGAAAAACUGAUUUAGGGAUUUUGACUUUUUUACUUUUAGUUACGAAAAUACCUCUCAUCCAUUAAACCAUAUGAGCAUAACUAGUUGGGGGCAAAAAUGGAAAUUUUCACAAAUGCAUAAGUGGUAUCGAUUUUAGUGGAUUGAUCUAGCUUUCGAUUGUGCUCUCGAUGAUACACAGUCACAUAGGUUUGAACAUACCAAAUUUGAAAAAAAUGGUUAAGUGUGUGAGAGACAAGUACUAGGUGGUAUCGACCUUGGUGGAUCGAUCUAAGAUUCAUUCAAGGGCUCUCGAUCACUACAUUGUGCACACAAUGGAUCGAUCCACAAAUUCAAUAGAUCGAUCGACACCUAAUUGAAAAAUGACUUAGGCAAAAACUAUUGAAAAAUCACAAGAAAUACACCAAUAGGCUUUCCAAAAACUGAAAAUUGAUUGACCAAAGAUGAGAUACAAUAGGAUGGCAUACUUAUAUUUCAAUUAAUGAGUUAGAGUUGAUUCACAUUGAACAAAAAUGCUUCCAAGAACUUAACAAUGGACAAAAUUAAUAAACAUAGAGAUUGAAGUACUUUCCAAAUUUAUCAAAUGAAUAGGUAAAAAACAAAUGAUUAUCAACACUCUAACAAGGAAGCUUAAGCUAAAAAAAAAAACUCACUCAUGACACCAUAAAACGGUGAAAAUGUUAAAUAAUUUCCACUUAUAAACCUAUAUUCAUUUAUGAGCCAAAAAUCAUUUUCAAGAUACUCUUCCUUUCUAGAGAAAUUCAAGAUAAUGUUCCAAGAAGUCAAUUUGCAUCUCUCUUGGCUAGAUUUCUGUUUAACAUGACCUAAUCACAUCCCUUUAAUAAAAUUCAUACACUAUUUGCUUUUCAUAUUUAGCAUUGAAAGGAAUACAAAGCUAUAAGUUUUACCUUAAAGAUCAGUUUUUGACUUGAGGAUCUCUAAGGACGCCUUUACAACAUAACAACAUAAGAGAUGUCCCACUUUUGCAAGGGAGGCUUUUUAAUUCUUGAAACACUGCCAAAGAGCCAUAUCCAUUCCGGGAAACUUCAUAUUUUCUUUUUCUUUUCUUUUUCAUUUUUUUUAAAAAUUUAAUUUCAAAGAGAGGACAAACAAUCAAAGAUUGAUAUUCUCAACCUCUCAAGGAUAUUCCAGGUGUCUUUACUCACUCUUUAAUGCUCAUUAAAUGGGUAUAAGUUUACAUUUAGACUUUAAAGAGCAUUAUUCACCAUUUAUGCAAACACAAGGUCUAACAAUGAGCUUUUUCUCACUUAAUAGAAAUGAAGCUAAUCAUUUGUAGUUUAUCUAACCAAAUCAAAAUAGCAAGGAUUCAAUAUCAUGUUUAUCAAACAAGCCAUGGAGAUAAAGACAUCUUGAAGCUUUUAAGAUCAUGAUGAGUUAAUUUAACUUUUAAACAAAAUGAAUAAGCAUGUCACUCUCAUGAACUCAACAAUUGUUGAAAAUUUAUGAAAAAUGGAGAAAAGAUUGAACCAAAACAAAAAGAACAUCAAGUUGAUGAUAUUUGGGAACUUAGGAAGACAACUAGGACUCAAGAAUAUGCAAGAGGAGUCCUAGACAAGUUUUAGAGGCAAUUAAAUAGAGAGUAUAUAAACCUAUGGGGCUCCUAAGUGAUUCAAACCUAGAAAUGUCCAAAGGUUUAGUAACAUUGUUAGCAAUUUGACUUUCUAUAGGGAAAAACUCUAGUGAAACAACCUUGUCUUCUACCAAGUCUUGAAUGCAGUGAUGCUUAAUGUCCACAUGUUUUUAUCUAGAAUGAAGAACACGGUUCUUUAACCUAUCAAUAACAUUGGCAUCAUCAAAUUCCUCCCCAUCAAUCUUAACUUUUACAAUGGGAUGCUCUUUUUCAUUUUGCAACAAUCUAUGUUGUAGCAAGUGAUUAACACAUACAAUUUUAGAACUUCCACACACAAGAGAAGAGGAUGAAGGAGAUUUUUUACUAACAACAUAGCACUUAUCACAAAUUCUCAAGCCCAUCAUCACACAUACAUCAUUCAAGUUAAACACCUUGCAAAAAUUUUGUGAAAAUUUUACAUUGAACUCAUUCCCACACAUUUGGCUUAUUCUAACUAAGUUAGCCUUUAAACCUUCAUAUAAGACCUCUUCAAGAUUAGGAAUUUCGGGGGCACAAAUGGUACCUUUGUCUUUCACCCUAGCCACAUUACCAUAUCUAAAUGUCACAUUUCCUCCAUCAAAUUCAGUGAAUGAAGUGAACAAAGAUUUAUUUCCAGUCAUAUGAUGUGAGCAUCUACUAUCAAGAUUCCAUGAGUGUGACUCACUAGCUCUAAGUACGUUAUGGACAACAAAACACUUCAACUCAUUCAUUUACACCCAAAUUUGUUUAAUAUUUGAGACUUGUCUUUUCAUUCAAAGUGCUUCCUUUCAACUCACCAUUAUGAGGGAUCUUUGACCACUUCUUGGACACUCUCUUAUUCUCAUUCAAUAACCUAUUCUUCAAAGUAUAACAUUCAUUCAUUAGGUUGGUAAAUUUCUUUUGAAAAUUAUCAGACAAUCUUGCAUAACAUCUAUAAAAAAUGUGUCCCAUUUUGCCACAAUGAUUGCAAUGAAACUUGAUUUGAGAAUGAGUUUUCUUAGGAGAUUAUUUUUCACAAGGCUUAACAAAAAUUGUUUUACCACUACUUGGAGUAGUAUUUGCAUCAACAAAUCCUAAGCCUUGUUUAUCAAAAAAUUUACACCCUAAAUUGAUCAACUCAUUAAGUCUCUUAGAGCUAGGAUGUGACUCUUCCUUCUUAAGACUUAACCCAUCCUUGAACAUUUGAUUCACUUUUCAAUACAUAAUAUUUUUUCUUCACUUCCAAAUGUUCAUUUUCAAGAAAUCCAAUUUUGUCAAGCAAAACCUUAUUUUCUCCCUUCAAGACAUCAAUCUCAUUGAUUAGAAUAUUCUUAGAAGCCUUCCACUUGACUUGUUCUUGUUUAAGGCUCAAGCACUCCUUAUACAAAGUCUCAUAUGCCGUGUCAAAACUCAUGUCAUCAUCAUUGGAGUCACUUGACUCAUGACUCACUUAUCACUUAAGACCUCUUUCUUGAGUGGUUUCUCAUUGACACUUGCAACAAAGGCUAUGAAGUUAGUGCAUUUUUCACUUCCAUUGGAUUCUUUUUCACUUGAUUGACAAGAUUCUAUGUUGCUUCAAGUGACUUGCAUGACCUUCUUUCCUUUUUUUCUUUGAGGGACAUUUGGCGGCAUAAUGUCCAUUUCCUCUACAUUUAAAGCACUCAAUCUCCAACUCUUUUUUCACACAUUUCUCCAUAUCCUUCUUUUUUUUCUAAUAGAGUUCCUCCAUUUUUACCAUCAUUUGAUUCUUUCUUGGAUUUUAUGAAUUUCAUGUACUUCUUAAUUUUUUUAGUAAACUUAGUAAGCACACCAUUUGAUAUUUUCUCAUCAUCCUCACUUUCGGAACUUAGGGACUCUUCUUUAAUAGUUUUUAAAGCAAUUCCCUUAGCUUUCCUAGGUGAUACAAGCGUCAUCUCAAAGGUUUGGAGGGAACCUACAAGUUCAUCUAUCUUCAAGGAAUCCACAUCCUUAGACUCUUCAAUGGUGGUAACCUUAGCUCUAAAUCUCUCUCGAAGAGAUCUUAAAAUUUUUCUAACCACCUUAGUGUUAGAGACGGAUUCACCUAGAUUGAAGUUAGAAUUCACUAUAUCCAUCAAUUUUGCAUGAAAUUCUCCAAAAGUUUCAUGGUCAUCCAUCCUAAUGGUCUCAAACCUAGAUGUCAACAUUUGAAGCCUGGACAUUUUUACGACAUUAGUUCCUUCAUGAGUCACUUGGAGGAUAUCCUAAGCCUUCUUUAACCAAAGUGCAUGUGGCAAUCCUAUGAAAUUCAUUCGUACUAAUGGCAUUGAAGAUGGAGUACAUGGCUCUAGCUUUAUUCUCACUUGCUUCAUUUUCACUUCUAUCACAUUCCAAUUUUGGCUUGAUAACAUUUGUUAGUUUACCUUCUCUAUCUAACACCUUAGGUGGAGACUAACCAAAUUCAAUGACAUUCCAAACUUUUUCACUUUGCAUUUUGAGAAAAUAUUGCAUUCUCACUUUCCAAUGAGAAUAAUUUUCACCAGUUAAGAAUGGUGGUCUCCUAAUGGAAGAUCUCUCUUAAUGAGGUUCCAUGAUUGAGAUUUAAGGACCGAAAAUGAUUUUUUCUUUAAAAACCCUCUCUGAUACCAAUUGAAAAGGUGAAUCUCAAUAGUGGAAUACACCUAAAUGGGGGUUGAAUAGGUGUUUUGACCAAUUUAUCAAAAUCUCAACUCAAAUUNNNNNNNNNNNNNNNNNNNNNNNNNNNNNNNNNNNNNNNNNNNNNNNNNNNNNNNNNNNNNNNNNNNNNNNNNNNNNNNNNNNNNNNNNNNNNNNNNNNNAAAAAAUGCACACUCUCUCACAAAGAAUGUAAAUUUUUCAAAAAAAAAAAAAAAAAAAAAACUUUCUUUUAUGGGGGGGCGCGGUGCUAUACAUUCUUAUAUAGGUAUAUAUAUAAAAAUAUAGAGACCUCACAGAGAAUGUGAGGGGUUCCUGUUCCUUGUGGGUCACUUCUAAAUCCUACACACACCCCUAAGAAACACACACACACUUUUUUUAUGGUGAACCACGACAAUAUACAUCCUUAUUUGGAUCUCUCUAUAAACAUAUAGAAGUGUGGGAGUGUGUGAGGCUCUCCCUUAUUUGAGUGGGCGUUUCUAAAACCUAUAUACAAAUUUUUUUACAUAUAGAAAUAUGAGAGGUACACGUCUAUUAUCUUUUCAUACCAUAUCUAUAUCACUCACUCUCUCUCUCACGUUUGUUUUGUGUGUAUAUAUAUAUAUAUAUAUAUAUAUAUAUAUAUAUAUAUAUAUAUAUAUAUAUAUAUAUAUAUAUAUAUAUAUAUAUAUAUAUAUAUAUAUAAAGUAUAUCCUUUUUAGGUUGUGCCUUUGAAUUAUUCCACUUNNNNNNNNNNNNNNNNNNNNNNNNNNNNNNNNNNNNNNNNNNNNNNNNNNNNNNNNNNNNNNNNNNNNNNNNNNNNNNNNNNNNNNNNNNNNNNNNNNNNCAAAGAUGAUUCAUAGUCAUUUCUCUUCAUCAUUCAAUCAAAUAGUAGACAAUCAAAAUUAUAAUAAAUUCUUGAAACUGAAAACUGAUGCUAAGAAGAGAAAGAGAGACAAUGAGACACCAUAAAUUUACAUGAAAAAUCUCCGAAGAGAUAAAAAACCAUGGGCCUAUUACUGAUUGAAAACAUCCACUAUGAAAAAUAAAAUCUGAAUACAAGGUUUUACCUACCUCAAGCCAACCAAUCUUUCCCAAACCACUUGACUAGUACCUUUACUUUCAGCUUCUCACCUUCUUCUUUCGAGGCACACUUGGAGUUUGUACCAAGCUCAAUCUCGACCUCUUCUUGAAUUCAUACAAGAACAAAAUGGGUUUUUGCACAAAACUGAGAGAAUGAGAGAUGAAUGUUUCAGAAAUCAACCCAUGUUCGUUUUUAGAAAAUCCAUUUUUUUAAAAAAAUUAUUGGAAAACUUGGACGGAUUUUCUUCAUAGGUAAACACCCUCCAAAUGGUGAGGAAAGAAAAAACUCUCUCACGGCUACUACAGUCACCACUUCCAGAAAUGAGGGAGAUUUGAUUUUAAAUGAGAGUGAAACCUUAAUCCAAAGGUUGAAAAUCGAUCUAAAAAACAUGUUAGUUGGAUCAAUUUACCCCUAUACCUAGAUUGAUCCAAAAACAGGGGAACAAAAGCCUUGCACCAACAAUAUUUCUCUCAGUUUUCUUUACUCAUUUAAAGAUGAAAAAUAGGGUUGAUUCACAUUCAAUCACCACACACUCAACCACAUACCUUGACCUCUUAGCAAGUCUUAAUCUUCAAAGGUCAAGUAGUUCGAAGAGGGAUUGGUAAACCAAGUUAGGGAACACUUAGGAAUUUUUUUCGGAAUUUCCAACCUAGCUAAACACUCACAGGUUCAUUUUUUUAGAAACAUAUAACACCUUAAGAAAAAUAUGUACAUUUGAUUUCAACUUAACAUGACAGAGUCACACUCAUUUGGGUCUAAGAUUUGACUUAUGUAUGCUACAAAAUGUAAUUAAGAGCUUCCCAAACCUCAUUUGACAUGGUGGAACCCUACCUAAGGUACAUCUUUUACAAAAAUACAUACAUUCUUAACAAAUAUAUAUAUAUAUAUAUAUUUUGAAGAAAAAUACUUACAUUUUUUUCAAGCGAACUGUGUGUUGGCGUCGUAGAUCUAAGGAACGGAAACAAUACGAAUUUAUUUAUUUAUUUUUUUAAAUUGAUCUUUAGGGUUAAAGUGCUAACCUUUAGGUUUGGAUGUUUCAGACCUUAAAUUCCAAGUGUUGAAGAUGACAUUGAAGUUGUUGGAAGUCUCGUAAACCCAUGGUCUUUUGCUUGAUGACUCAACUUUAUUCUUGGCACAUUUUUGAUAGGAAGGAAAGAAAGGUGGAGGCUAGAGCUCUCUUUAUCUCUAAAUGGUGGAAGGAAAAAGUGAUGAAGACUCUAACCCCUAGGGGGUAUUUAUAGGGUUCCUAACUAAGCUUAAGUGACUUGAGCCCACAUGGGCUUGGGUAACUUAAUUUAGGCCAAAAUGGAUCCUAAUUGAUUAAUUAACCCAAUAGGGCCUACUAAUUAAUUAAUUAGCUCAAUCUAGAGACUUUGUUCACUUAUCCUUGUGCAAUCUUGUAUAAUUACCAAAACACCCUUAUGCACAAAAGUAAACCUAUAGUCAAUUCGACCCUCAUAACUAUGCCAAAAAGAUAUAUAAGCUCAGAGCGGGGACCACUAGGAUCCAUAAGAGUACUAACUCCCUCAGGAUCCAAUUAUGAAGUUGAUUCAACAUCUUAUUACAAAGAAUCAACCAAACUCCAAUAUUCUAUGUAAAUAACAACAAGACACUACGUGCUCGGGUCUAUGACCUAGUAUCCAUUGUGUUCAGUCUUCCCAUGAACUGGUGUUUUAGUCUAACAAGGUGAAAGCUAUCAACCUUUCAAGACUCUCUACCAUCCUUGUGUUACAAAUCCUCCUAUUGUAUAUUCAAUUGACAUGUCUUAGCUUUCAAAGAGCUUAUGUCAAGUUCUACUUAAGGAACUAUUAUGACCAUAGUUUCCAUGAACACAUCCCCUUAAGAUCACCCAAGGGGACACAUUGUCUCAAUCCCAUGAGAUAUCAUGGUGUCUAUUGAGAAUGCCUAUUGUUACCGACUUCCAUUAACAGUGACCCAAUCCAUAGGGAAUAUAUGAUCAACUUACGAUCUCACCCAUAGGUAAAAGUCAUUGCUAAUUUUAGUACAAUCUCAAUAUUCUCUCAAGGUUGAGAGAUAACACAAUGAAGUAUCUUGGUGAGGUCAUGACUACUUGAUAGUCUUAAGUCAUGACUCAUCAUAGGUCUUGUCCAACGUGUAAUCAUACACAGUAGUGUACUCACCAUGGGAAACCCAUCCCAAUAACGAAGACCAACCAUCCCUCCAAUUAGGAGGUGGUGCACUACAACCUCUAAUGGGUUGCCUAGACCCAUAAACCGGUUGUGAACAAGUCAAUUAUUUGCAAGGAACCCAUGACUUAAAGAUCUUCUAUGCAACUCCUAAUGCACCUAAGUCAUGUACAAUGCAAAAUAUGUUGACAAGACUUCUCAUAAAAUAUAAUACAUGGAAUAAAGAUAGAUAAAAGUGAAAUGGGAACAUCAUUAAAUAAAUAAGGAAUUUCAAAUUUAAUACACCAUGUUAUGCUUUUAAGAGCUCUAUCUUAAGACUAUAAUCCUAUUUGACCUUAUUUAGGUCUAGGUAUUCACUUAUGGAAGCCUGAGAAUGAAUUAAAGGUCUUUCCUUACCUUGUUAGGCUUUUCUAAACCAUAAGAACAUCCUUAAGAAAAAAUACAUAUAUUUUUAUGGAAAACAUGUACGUUCUUAAAAAAACAAAAUAUGUGCGUUUUUUUUAAAGGAGAUUGUGACCUUAUUUUGCCUUAUUUAGGUUUUAAUAUUAACUUAUGGAAGCCUUGUAAUAAUUUUGAGGCUUCCCAUUCCUCGUUGGUCAUUUUUAAAGUCUACGUACAUCUUUAAGAAAAAUAUGCACAUUCUUAAACAAAGUAUGUAAAUUCUUCAAAAAAAAAAAAAAAAAAAACCUUUUCUUUUAAGGUGGACCAUGGUUCUAUUCAUUCUUAUUUAGGUCUAAAUAUUAAAUUAUAGAAGCCUCAUAAUGAAUUUGAGGUCUUCCUGUUCCUUGUAGGUCAUUUCUAAAUCCUACAUACAUCCUUAAGAAACAUACAUGCAAUUUUUUUAAGGUGAACCAUGACAAUAUACAUCCUUAUUAGGAUCUCAAUAUUAACAUAUGGAAGUGUUGGAAUGUUUGAGGCUUUCCCUUAUUUGAUUGGGCAUUUCUAAAACCUAUGUACAAUUUUUUUAACAUAUGGAAAUAUGAUAGGUACAUGACUAGUAUCUUUUCAUACCAUAUCUAUAGCAUUCAUUCUUACUAUCAUGUUUGUUUUGUGAUUAUAUAUAUAUAUAUAUAUAUAUAUAUAUAUAUAUAUAUAUAUAUAUAUAUAUAUAUAUAUAUAUAUAUAUAUAUAUAUAUAUAUAUAUAUAUAUAUANNNNNNNNNNNNNNNNNNNNNNNNNNNNNNNNNNNNNNNNNNNNNNNNNNNNNNNNNNNNNNNNNNNNNNNNNNNNNNNNNNNNNNNNNNNNNNNNNNNNUCAAAAAAAAAAAAAAAAAAAACCCUUUCUUUUAAGGGGGGGCACGGGUCUAUUCACUCUUAUUUAGGUGUAAAUAUAAAAAUAUAGACGCCUCACAAAGAAUGUGAGGUCUCCCCGUUCCCUGUGGGUCACUUCUAAAUCCCACACACACCCCUAAGAGACACACACGCACUUUUUUUAAGGGGAGCCACGACACUAUACACCCCUAUUUGGGUCUCUCUAUUUACAUAUGGAGGUGUGGGAGUGUGUGAGGCUCUCCCCCAUUUGAGUGGGCGCUUCUAAAACCCAUGUACACUUUUUUUAACACAUGGAAAUAUGAGAGGGACACGUCUAGUGUCUUUUCUCACCCUAUCUAUAGCACUCUCUCUCUCUCUCACGUGUGUUUUGUGUGUAUAUAUAUAUAUAUAUAUAUAUAUAUAUAUAUAUAUAUAUAUAUAUAUAUAUAUAUAUAUAUAUAUAUAUAUAUAUAUAUAUAUAUAUAUAGAUAUAUCCUUUUUAGGUUGUGCCUUUGAAUUAUUCCACUUCUAAUGGUUUGAAUUGUUUUUUCUAUUCUAAUGACUAUAAUUACCAUGGUACCAAGAAUUAUGUUUACCACGACCAUGAUUGUGUCCUUAGCCUUGUUCACGUCCAAGUCCAACUCAAUGUCUAGGAGCUUGGACGGAUGUGACAGUUGCUUCUAGCAAUGACACAUACCUAAUAGUAUGAGGUUGAUGAUUCUUCGGUAGAAGUUCAUUAUUUUGUUUAGCCAUAAGAAGACAUUAAACUAAUUCAAAAUAUUUAGUGAAAUGAUGUUCUUGAUAUCGUUGCCAUAGGAGUACAUUCGAGGCAUGAAAAAUGGUGUUCAUUAUUCUUUAAUGAUUUUUUCUCCAUAUAAAUUGUGAACAACUUUUGAAUAAAGUCGAGUUGUGGUCAUUGACAGACUUGAAAUUUUGUAAUCUCAAGUGCAUCUAAUCAUGAUGUGCUUUUGGAAGGAUUACAAUCUCGUGGUGGCCAUAUCAUUAUGUUAUAUUAUUCCAAAGGAUCAAAGUAUCAUUCCAUUAGAUUAUUUCAAAGGAUGAAAAUUCUUUGAUUGUAAGGAAUUCACCUUUUAUUCCUUCAUCAAUGUGAUAAUGAAGGAAUAUUAAUGCUCUAGUACGAUCUUGUGAGGAUGCCUCAUUUUAUUUUUUAAUGGUCUUUUCAAGAUUCAUAUUGUUUAGGUGAAUUUUAGCAUCUAGAAUCCAUAUAAAUAGUUUGCCUGAAAUAGGGAGUGUAACAAACUCAAACUUGGUAAGAUUUGACAUUAUUUGAAAACUAUAUUUGAAAUAAUUUAAUUGGAAUAAUAUUUCAAUUUACCAAAAUGAAUUAUAAAUAAAUGAAUAAAAUUAUCUAACAAUAUUUUAUCAGGUUAAUAUUCAUUAAUAAAAACAUAACGAUUUAAGAUUUUGUUAUAUUUUAUCUCUAAAGGAUUAUUAUAACUAUGGUAAAAAAAAUGCAUGAACAUCAUGUAGUAUUAACAAAAUAAAAAUUACGAAUUGAUAGCUUACAUAGCUUUUGGCUAUGGAUUAUUUUUAUCAUAACAAAAAUGUGUAAAUUUGUAUAUAUCUUUAGGCUAUGAAAUAUUCAUUAUUUAACUUCUAACUAUACAAUUUUGUUUUGUGUAACAUUUGGUUAUAUCAUUAUAAUUAAAAGAAAUUAGAAAUUACGUGUAAGUCAUUCUUUAUAUUUUUAUAACUUUAUAAUUUCUCAUAUAACCUUUGGCUAUACAAUUGUACAUAUUUUACAUAUUUUUUUAUAACUUCUAGUUGUGAUUUUUUUUCAUAAUUUUUGUCUAUAAAAAAAAUAUUUUCAAGUUUCUUCAUCGAAAAAAGGAUAAAUUAAAUAGAAAAUAAUACAAAAGUAGAAGUUUAUCACAUACCUUUUAGAGGAGAAAAAAGAUAUUUUAUGAGAAUAAGUUUGUCCUUUUAGUGUUUGAAUCUUAUACAAAAACUUAUAAUAAGAGUUUUCUUUUGGAGAGACUAGAAUUAGAGAAGAGAUAGAGUUCUAAAAUAACUUUGAGGUAUCCAUUUCAUUGACCCAAGUUUCCUAUUUAUAAGAGUUUGAAAAAACUAGGAUUAAUUAUAAUAUUUAAUUCUUUAUGGGGAAAAAGUAAAAAAUAAAAAAGGCUUUUAAUCAUUAAUUAAGAGUACUUGCUUAAAUACAAAAUUUCACAAAAAUUUAAACUAAAUUCCUUUAAAAAAGAAUAGAUAACUUGUUUUAAAAAAUAGUUAAACUAUGUUAAUUUUAUAUAAUUUGAGUGAGAAAUAAAUUUAUUAUAAAUUGACAAAGUUGUCAUUCACAAAAAGCAUCAAAUAUAUUUGAUUUUUUUUUUCAUUUUCAUUUUUCAUUUUUUUAAGGAAAAAUCAGAUUUAAAUUUUUUUCAUAAAUUGAUAGCUAAAAGAUAAAUUUACAAAAUUUCAAAUCCCCACAUGUUUCCAUUAUUUUUACCCCAUAAAUUAUCCCAUCCUUAAUAAGAUUGAAUUUUGCAAAUUAUUAUUGAUUACUCAUUCAAAAAUAAAAAUAAAUUACACUAAAAAUCAUAAAAUUUAAAUUAGAAAAAUAUUUAAUAUAAAUUUUAAAAAUUCAGCUUUAUAAAAAAUAAAAAUAAUUAUCAAUUCUAAUAAGAUUUUUUUAAUCAAAAUUCUAAAGCAUAAUUCACAUUCAUCUAAAUAUUUAUUAGAAUUAAUAAUUUUUAAAAAUAUAAAUUAAAAUUUGAUACCCCUUCGGAGAUAAAAUUCCAAAAAUCAAUGAAUUAAUUUAGAAAAGAAUACAUAUUUCAAUCUCAAAUCUUCAAAUCUAAACAUAUACUAACUUAGAAAAGUUCUAAUAGUUUCUAACAAGUCUAAGUGGGUAUUUGGUAAAUCAAUUUAAUAACUUAAUUCAAGUUAUUAAAUAAAUUAAAUAUAGUUGGUAAAAUAAUUUAAUGGUAUGACUUAAAGUAAAAAACAACUUUAAGUAAUAAGUAAAAAUAAUUAAUUUAUUCUUAAAUUCAUGUUUUCAUUUUAUCUUUUUACCCUCAUUUAUCUUAGUUCCACGAUUUAUUUUGCUAUUAUACAACUUCCAUCAUUACUUGAUCUCAUUUACCCUCAUUAUAAUUUAUGGGGGUAAGUAUAUUAAUUUGAUGAUUUAGAAUAAAUUUUAAAUUAAUUUUAUUAAAAAAUCUUAAUAUUUAAAGUAAAAAUUAAGUAAUAAGUUUUAAGUCAAUAACUUCAAUAUAAUUUUACUUAAAAUCAACUUAAGUCAUUGAGUAAUAAUUAUUGAGUUUUACCAAACACCCCAUAAUUAUACUUAUUAUCAUACUACCAAUUUCUUAUCAAUUACAUAAUUAUUUAUUAUAAAAUUUUAAUAUGUUAAUGAAUUAUGAUAUUUAAAUAUUUAAAAAUAUGUUGAUUGCAAACUAAUUUAACAAGAAAUAAAAUAAUAUUAUUUUGUAAAUAUUUUUGUAAUGUAAAAGAUAAGUAAUUUAAUAUUUUUUAACAUUUACUAAUAAUUAAAAUAUAAAAAAUUUAAAUAUUUAACAAUACUUAAUUUAUUCAAAUUUAAAACAAAUUUAGAUCUUAGAUAAAAAUACAAUCACCACUGAAAUUUUAAAUAUUUAAAAUACACAUAAAGUUUAAAUAUUUAUUUAAUUUCAGGAAUCUAAGAACUAAGGAAGGGACCAAUAGUGACUUGUCGAUCUAAAAGUAUGCAAGUUCUAUUUUCUUUUCCCUACAAUAUCAUUUUUUUCCUUGCAACAUCAUUUUUGUGGUGGAAAUUAUGCGGAGGACCAGUGUACUUAAUUGACAGGGCUGGCGAAAGCGAUGACGUGGAAUGAUCAAAGCAAUGAGAUGUCGUGGAAGCAACCAACUAUCGGGACGCUUCUAUAUUUUACCAUGCCAUAACAAAAGUUUCCAUAAUUCGCAAGUUCUGGAGAGAUACGAAACCGAGAUAGAAUAUAAUUUAGAAAGGAAAAUGAAAAUGAAAGCUGAGAUAAGGAAUGAGCAUCACCACCUCCUAGAAGUAUCCAAGGGUUUAACCCACUCUCUGAAAUUUGCUAUAAAUACUCAGCAAUUUCCCGUGUUGUUCAUCAAUACUUAAAAGAGUUUGAAUUUAUCAAUCACAUUAGUAGCAAUGGCAGACGAGAUUAUCGUGUUGGAUUUCCGGCCUAGCAUGUUUGGUAUGAGGGUCAGAGUUGCCCUGGCAGAGAAGGGUCUCAAGUAUGAAUAUAGAGAGGAGGACCUGUGGAACAAGAGCCCUUUGCUUCUUGAGAUGAACCCAGUUCAUAAGAAAAUCCCAGUUCUGAUCCACAAUGGAAAGCCCAUUUGUGAGUCUCUGAUAAUAGUUCAGUGUAUUGAUGAGGUUUGGUACGAUAAAUCUCUGCUUUUGCCCAGUGACCCAUACUAGAGAGCUCAGGCCAGGUUCUGGGCGGACUACAUAGACAAGAAGGUAUGCCUUUGCUGUUGAUUUAAAGCAUUCUUUUCCAUUGAUUCAUGGCGAUUGACUCAGAUUUUGAUUAUGGUGAGGGAUUUGUCCAAAAUGCUGGGUUUCUUCACACGUUCCCUUCUGAUAUUGAGUUUUGUGGGCUUUGGGGUUCCAAACUAGAACUUUUACUGAUUCUCCUUGCUGUUUGUUCAACAAGACUAUACUCUGCAUUUCUGAUAUGGGUUUAAAUUUCUUGUUUAUGUUGAAUACGAAUUCUGUUCGUUCCAUCAGGAAAAACAGAUCUCAAGAAUACCUUUUUUCCCCAAGCAAGGCGAAUACAUAAACCAGAUAUUUAAAGAAAGGUGUUUGGUUUUUUGUUAUCUUGCUGUUCAACAUCUUGCACAACAGUUGUUUUAAUAUAUGUUCUGUUUCUUUGAUCUCUUUCUUCUCAUUUUCUGAAACCCAAUUUGAGGGGAAAAACUUCAGCAAAUGAUACAUUCUUUCAGCUGAUUCUGAUCUUUUUUCUUCCACCGGCACUUCAUUUUAUUCUUAGCAAAUGAUAUUUCUAUGCGGAAGAGUCCUUAAUAAACUUGUCCAACUUUACAGAAUUUGAAACUUGAUGAAAUUCUCCAAAAAAAAUAAUCCUUCUCUCUUUGACUCCAUUAUUUUCCACAGCUCUAUGAACUUGGAAGGAAGAUAUGGUCAACCAAAGGAGAAGAGCAGGAAACAGCCAAGAAGGAAUUCAUAGAGUGCCUUAAGCUUUUGGAAGGAGAGCUUGGAGAGAAGCCUUACUUCGGUGGUGAAAAAAUUGGGUUUGUAGAUGUGGCUCUGGUGACCUUCUCUUGCUGGUUUUAUGCAUACGAGACCUUUGGCAACUUCAGCAUAGAGGCGGAGUGCCCCAAGUUGAUCGCUUGGACCAAGAGGUGCAUGGAAAGGGAGAGCGUGUCGUCUUCUCUUGCAGACCCCCACAAGGUCCAUGGCUUUGUCGUGGUGUUGAGAAAGAAGUUUGGUAUAGAGUAGAAGGGGCACAUGGGUCCUCUCUCGAAGACCCCGCAAGGUCCAUGACUUUGUCACGUGGAUGAGAAAGAAGUUUGGUAUUGAAUAAAAGGGAAAUAUCACGGUCUAUGCUCUAUUGAGUAGUGUUGUAUUGGUAAUGUAAGAGGAGUGUUUGCUUAAGUUUGCUAAGUGAUAUGGGUUUGCUGAGCUAUGUUGUUGGAAAUAAAUGUUUUGAAUUUGUUUUGGACUAGAGACGUGUUCCUGUAUUAAAGAAAUAAAAGUCUUUGACUACAUUUCCAUCGUGUCCACAUGAACAACUAUUAAGACAAAUUGGUUAAGACAUGCCCUAGAUAGAAAUAGAUAGAAGUGAGUCAUGAAAUGCACAUAUCUAACCUGCUCUUAUUACCAUAUUUUUUUUUUUUUAAAAAAAACUUUGAUAUGAGAAGUCAAAGAGCAUGUCGUUGUUGAUUUUUUUUUCUUUUUCACAAGAAUAUAUAUAUAUCUUCCAUAAAAUUAUCUUCAUGAAAAUUUUCUAUUUUCAAUUUUUUUUCUCUAUUCCAUUUUCUCAUAUUUAUUGAUUUUAAUUAUUUAUAGAUGUUUUAAAUAUAAAAUAAUAAUAUAAAAUAAAUAAUUAAUAAGAAAAAUUUUAAUAUAACAAUAAAUAAAUAAAAUGUUGAAAGUAAUAUUAUGGUAGGAAGGAUGUAUCACUCUUUUUUGGUUUAAACUAAGAUAUGUUACCAUCAUUUAUGUGCUAGAUGUCUUAUUAAUGGUGAAAUAACGUGAAUUCAAAGGGUGUUAAUGUAACAUUGAUCAACACAACCCUUGAAAAAAUGAAUACCACUCUUUUAUAAAUAAAAAACACCACUAAAUUGUAUUAAAAGUAUCAUUGUAGUGUGAAUGUUGUACUAUUCUUCUUUGGUUUAAGGUAUGUUUCCAUUUGUUAUGUGCUCAACGUAUUAGGUAAUGAUGAAAUAACGUGAAAUGAGUGAAUGUUAUUAUGCAACAACACCGAUCAACACAACCCUUAGAAAAAGAGGGUACCACUCAUUUAUGAAAAAUCUACUAUGUUAAAAGUACUACUAUGGUGGGAAGAAUGUAUCACUUGUCUUUAAGUUCUACCAUGGUAGGAAAAAUGUAUCACUCUUCUUUGGUUUACGGCGAGGUUUGUUACUAUUCAUUACAUGCUCAACGUCAUAUGUGAUGAGGAAAUAAUGUGAAUUGAGAUGGUGUUAUUUCACUAUAACACUGAUCAACACAAAUCCUUGGAAAAAAGGGUACUACUCUGUAGACAUAAAAAAAAUUAGUGGAUUAAAUUACCACUAAUUUGGUCUUCAAAAUGAAUAAAAAAAAAAAUAUAUAUCCUCUUAUGGAUAAGUUUCCUUAAUCUCCAACUAUAAAAAGGAUAAUAAUAAUAAUAAUAAGAAAAUUAUUAUUAUUAUUAUUAUUAUUAUUAUCUUGUUGAUAAAACCUCUUGGGAGAAGAAAAUUUGCUAAAAUCAAGGAACUAAAUCCCUUGAAUUAAGCAACUAAACUCCGAGAAUUUGAAAUUCAAAUUCCAUAUCUUCACCUAUAAAUAGAGGUGUCUUCUUUCAAGAAAGGAGAUGAAGAAAUUGAGAAAUAAAAAAAAAAUUCAGAAAGGAAAAUCCUAAGGAGAAAAUCCAAAGGCAAUUUUGUACAGGAAAAAAAGGUUUCAUAACAAAAGAAAAAGUUUCAUCAAAUUUCUCUGCAAGUUUGGUAAAUGGUAGAACUGCUAAACGCAUUCUUUGCCAUUUAACGAGUUCAUUCGGGAAUAAGCCACUUGUGACCCUCGAUUGAUCUUUGAAAUCAAGAAAACGUCAUCGUCGUCUUCCAAAGUGUGAUUAAGGCAAAAGAAUUAGGGGGGAAAAUUAUUUUGGAAAGAAUAUUAUUUUGAGAUUUUACCCACAAUAUUUUCAAUUUUAAUAAAUGUUUUGUUCGCAUUAUUUUCCUAUUUAUUUUGUUAAUUUGGUAGGACCAUUUAUGAAAUUUGUGGGUACAAAUUUCUAGCACGCCCAGCGAGACUUCUUUGCCUCUCGUCUCUUUUUAGAAGAUUGAUCUCUACUUCAUUGAUGACACCCAAAAGAACUCAAGUUGUGCAUGUAAACAAGGGCAAUGACAAGAUCAUCAUUGCACAAUCAACACAUGACGCCGCUAUGGGCCCCAUGACUCAUAGCAAAGCAAAAUCAACAUCUUCACUCUCAACAAAACAAAUAAGUGAGUUUGCUUGUUUGCUAAAAUCGGUAAGAACGUGUGAUGAGCACCAGCCACUCAUCACAUUGGUCUCUCUAGGGGCAAAGAGCCAUAGUCCUCGUAGUAGGGGAAAACUCACUUCAACACUACAGGACUUAGGAUAAAUCUCCUAGCUCUGUUAUCGAUUCUAACUCUAGCACCGGCUCAUACUCCGAGUCGCCAGCUGGAAUGUCAAAGGAGGAAAACUACUCCAAUCGUUUCGACUCUUUUACUUCUCCCUUCUCGAUGACUAUGCUGGUAAUGGCAACUGGCACUACAUUUGUAGAGGAACAAUUAGUAGAGAUGGCUCAUGGCAUCGCCAAACUCACCAAAAUGGUUGAGGAGAAGGAUAUGCAAAUAGCCUCCCUCAUAAAUAAGGUUGAGGCACAAGUACAAAAUAUGGGUGAGUCAAGUCAAGGACUCAACCACUUUCUGAAUGUUGCAUCUCUUCUCGAUGAUGCACCACAUGCGUAUAGGACAAUCCAAGUUGAGAGACAAAUGGCGGAAUCUGCCUCAAUGGCAUCAUUAUCUAUCCAACAACUUCAGUACAUGAUAACUAACACCAUUAGAGUGCAGUACAGUGGACCCUUACAGAGUACGCUCAUGUACUCAAAACGUUACACUAAGAGGAUUGAUAACCUACGUAUGCCUGUGGGUUAUCAACCUCCAAAAUUUCAAUCAUUUGCAAAAUUUCAAUCAUUUGAUUGGAAGGGAAAUCCAAAACAAUAUAUUGCCCAUUUCAUUGAAACUUGUAACAAUGCAGGUACAGAUGGUGACUUAUUAGUUAAACAAUUCGUCCGUUUUAUUCGAAGGAAUGCUUUCGAUUGGUACAUAGACCUUACACUUAAGUGUAUCGAUAAUUGAGACCAAAUGGAAUGUGAAUUCCUCAAUAGUUUCUAUAACACCCGACGAACUGUAAGCAUGAUGGAACUUACUAACACUAAGCAAUGGAAAGACAAGCCGAUUAUAAACUAUAUCAAUUAUUGACAUUCCUUAAGCCUUGACUACAAAGAUAGAUUAUCUGAGGUAUUGACCAUGGAAAUGUGCAUACAAGGAAUGCAUUGGGGUCUCCUAUACAUUCUCUAAGGGAUACAACCUCAUACAUUUGAAGAAUUAGCUACCAAAGCACAUGACAUAGAGCUCAACAUAGACAACCAUGGUUCUAAGAAGGACCUUACCAUUGAUCGAUAAAGAGAAAGACAUGAUGGGAAAAUGAGUGACAAGACCUCAAAGAAACCUAUUCAGGAGUCAAUGACAAUAAAUAUAACUCUUGUCAAAAUCUCAGCAAGAGAUAAAAAAAAGGAAGUAAAAGAGGUCAGACUAACCCAGGAAAAUAAGAUGUGUCAAUUCAUCUUGAAGGAAUUAGAGGAGAAGAAGUAUCCUUUUCCUGACUUUGAUGUGCCUAACAUGUUGGAAGACUUGCUCCAAAAAAAGGUUAUUAAGUUACUUGAGUGUAAGCAUCCAAAAAGAAUGGGUCGUGUUAAUGAUCCAAUCUACUAUCAUUACCAUCGAAUUGUUAGUCAUCCUAUGGAGAAAUGUUUCAUUUUAAAAGAUCUCAUAAUGAAACUUGCAAAGCAAAGAAGAAUUCAUUUAGAUCUGGAUGAAGUAGUAGAGUCAAAUCAUGCUAUAGUCACAUUUGAGUCAUUUGAUCCUGUUCCAUUACAUGUUCCACUUAAGAAACUAGGGACAUGUGGCAAUACUAUUCAAUGUGAGUCACCAAAACCAAAGCAAACAUAAGUGUCAUGUUAGGAUAGCCUUCUUCGCCUUUGCUCUGAUAAUAAAUCAAUGUCAUAUGACGAAGAAGGUUGGAUAUUGGUGACACGAAGAAGACUUUGCAAGAAGCAAGGGUCGCAUUCAUACCCUAACCUUCUUAGGAGGGAAUGACAUGAGUGGAAUACUCACCAACAUUUAAAGAAGAAAGAAAAAAAGAAUCUUAAAAGAAAACAAGCGAUUGUACAAAUAGACGACUUUUUGGUCCAGAAACUCAUCACCCCUAUCACCCUAGAGAAAUACUUCCCUCUAGGGUUCUUUGAUAAAAGGGUGGCAGUAUCAACUCAUAUGGUCUCUUGCUAAGAGACUUCAAAAGAAGAGGGGUUAAGUGAAGAUGAGGAAAACAUUCUUGGUGUUGAGUCAAGAAAAACUAAGGAAGAAGAGGGGGUUGUAGCAAGCCUACAACACCUACUCUCACUAUUUAGUAGCCACGAAAUGCUACAACUACCUAAUGAGAUACAAAAUGUGUUGAUUCAAGUACUUAAGGAUCCAACACUCUAUGCCACCAAAAUAAAGGGGGCAAAAAGACUUGAGGAUGAAAGCCACAAUUGUGCCAAAUGUUGUGCAGCCAUCAUUUUUACUAACGAAGACCUUCAGUUAGGGUCAAAACCACAUAAUCGACCCCUGUUUGUUACUAGGUACAUACGGGAACAAAAUAUCACUUGCAUUUUAAUUGAUGAAGGGUUUGGAAUAAAUAUCAUGCCUAAAGCAACAAUGAAAUGACUCAGGAUUGCUACAAAAGAACUAACUCAGAGUCGCCUAAUGAUCUAAGGCUUUAAUCAAGGGGGACAACGAGCUAUUGGUAUGAUUCACCUAGAGCUUGUUACAGGUGAAUUGAGUUCGAACACAUUGUUUCAUGUAAUCAUUGCAAAACAUUUUACAACUUAUUACUCGAGCGACCAUGACUUCAUGAGAAUGGGGUAAUUCUUUCGACACUAUACUAGUGUUUCAAAUUCUAUAGAGGAGGGGUAAAGGUAGUAUAGACUGAUACUAAGCCAUUUACAGAAGUCGAGUCUUAUUUUGUUGAUGCUAAAUUUUACAUAGAAAAUGAUGUUAUGCAGGAAGUCCUUCUUGCGAUUAUUCUCUCCACUGGGAAUGCUAAACUUAAGGAAAAAGUUGAGCUAUGUAAGUUGACAUCAGCAGGGAAAUUUCAUAACAAAUGAUGACUCAAAUAAAAAAAAAAGAGAAAUUUUCAAAAAAAUUGACAUUGGACUUGACAAUUCUCACUACUUUCCUAGUUUUUAGGUACAUCCCAAUAUCUCGACGAAGUGAGGGUCAACCAUUUUUCAUAGAAGACAAAAACAAAGUACAACCCUGAGGAUUGGAAAAUGGGGACCUUUAAGUCUUGAAAGAAGAUACGACCAUUCCUCUUCCAAACUUACAACUUAUCUCUAGGGAUGAAACACAAAAAUCCAACAAAACCUCAAGAGAUCAAACAAAGCAAGAAUUCUUUCCUGGUAAAAGAAUAAAUGAGGAGUUCAACCCUAAGACUUACAAGUUAUUAGCCAAGGCAAGGUAUUACUUCACUUCGUCAUCACGAUUAGGAGAACUUAGCCUCGAGACUACAGGUGAAAAGAUGCAUGACUUUAACGAAACUCAAAAAAAGUUGAAACAACAAGGGUAUGCAGUCAAACCUUCUAGUGCAGGUUUAGGGUUUGUACCUUUUGAGCCUAUCAAAAUUUUAGUUAAGACUAAGAAGACUAAGGCAAGUACACAACAUAUCAUUGUAGAAGACAUGGAGGAGAGUAGUGGGUCUAACUCUCCUUCUCGAAUUUCAAUAUUUGAUCGGAUUGAAGCUCUAAUUACAUGAGCUUCAGUGUUCACUAGGUUGGGCGAUUUUAACCAAGUAUAAUGUAAUUUAGCACAUAUUCCACAAAGGUCAAUACAACGAAGGAUUAAUACUCUACCCAAAAGUCACGACGACAAAAUCCCAAUAAGAAGUAGUGUAGUGAACUAAAUAAGAAUGCAAAAAUAAGAAGUUUAAUCCCAUCAAGGAUGAAACACCAUUCAACUUGGGAAAUUUGUACUAAUGGCUAGUUAAAAUUAAAAUGACAUACCAUCGUGAUCACCAAGCAGUCGGACGAGGGAUGCCCUAAAGAUGUUAAAUAAAGUUUGACACACAGUAACUACCAUAUUACAGUAGAAGUUGACUCUAAUUCAGAGUUUUUAGAAGAUGAACUAUGAGAAGCUCCUCAAGUAUUUGAGGACGGGGGGCAGGCCACUGUAGAUGAGUUAAAAGAGCUCAAUUUAGGUACAAAUGAGGACCCAAGGCCAAUUUAUGUAAGUAUGCUUUUAAGUCCUUCUGAAGAGAAAAGUUAUUUUGAAUUGUUACUCAAUUAUAAAGAUGUCUUUGCAUGGUCGUACAAAGAAAUGUCAGGUCUUGAUCCAAAAGUUGUAGUACAUUAACUCACGGUGAAACAUGGUGUCCGAUUGAUUAAGCAAGCCCAAAGACGAUUUUGACCAGAACUUGUUUCGCAAAUAGAAACGAAAAUUUUCAAAUUGAUUGAAGUUGGUUUUAUUAAGGAGGUAAAGUACCCGACAUGGAUUGCGAACAUUGUUCCAGUGAAGAAAAAGAAUGGGUAGAUCCGUGUCUGUGUAAAUUUUAGAGAUUUAAACAAUGCUUGCCCAAAAGAUGACUUCCCAUUACUAAUUAUUAAGCUUAUGGUUGAUGCAACUACAGGUCAUGGAACUUUAUCCUUCAUGGAUGGAUCAUUGGGGUAUAACCAAAUACAAAUGGUGCCAGGGGAUGAAGAACUUACUGCAUUUUGUACUCUAAAGGGUAUUUACUGUUACAAAGUGAUGCCUUUAAGACUAAAUAAUGCAGAUGCAACGUAUCAACAUGCCAUGCAGAAAAUAUUUGAUGACAUGCUUCAUAAGAAUGUCGAGUGCUAUGUUGAUGAACUGGUGGUCAAGUCUAAGAAGAGAGAAGACCACCUGCAAGAUCUUCGUAUGGUGUUUGACAGGUUAAGAAGGUACCAACUUAUGAACCUACUCAAAUGUGCUUUUGGUGUUACUUCUAGUAAGUUUCUAUUUUAUUGUUCGACACCGUGGCAUUGAAGUGGAUCAAUCUAAGAUCGCAACCAUUCGAGCUAUGCCAGAGCUGAGGAAUCUUUAAGAACUUAGAAGUCUUCAAGGACGUCUUACUUUUAUUCGACGAUUUAUUUCAAAUCUUGUAGGACGAUGUCAAUCCUUCAACCAACUUAUGAAGAAAGAUGUCCCAUUUGUUUGGGACAAAGCUUGUCAUAAUCCCUUUGAGAGAAUAAAAAAGUAUUUGGCUAAUCCACCAAUCUUAGGUGCUCUUAUGGCAGGGAAGCCAUUGAUACUCUACAUUGCCGCACAAAAAUGCUCUCUUGGAGCAUUGUUUGCACAACAAAACGAGGAGAACAAAGAAAAUACAUUGUAUUACUUAAGUCAAACUCUAAUGGGAUCAGAACUAAAUUACUCCCUAAUAGAGAAAACUUGUCUUGCUUUAAUCUUCUCGACAAAAAAGCUAAUACAUUACAUGCAGGCAUACACAGUACACUUAAUAGCACACGUUGAUCCCAUUAAGUAUGUGCUAUCAAAGCCAGUUAUUUCAAGACGAUUAGCAAGAUGGGGGUUGUUACUCACUGAGUAUGAAAUAAUCUACAUUCCUUAAAAGGUAAUCAAAGGACAACGCAGACUUCUUGGCAGAUCAUCCUAUCCUUGCAACAUGAAAAAUUUUAGAUGACUUCCCCGAUGAGGAGAUCUUUUAUGUUGAUGUUUUUCCUUCGUGAAUGAUGUUCAGGUCAGCACGUUAUGAUGGAACAGGUGCAGAUGUUGUAUUUGUCUCACAACAAAGAUAGAUACUACCAUAUUCAUUUGUUCUUAGUGAGAGAUGCUCUAACAACGUUGCUAAAUACCAAGCCUUAAUUAUUGAACUACAAAUAGCGAUUGAAAUGAAAAUCACAAGCUUAGAGAUAUGUGGGGAUUCUAAGUUGGUAAUCAAUCAACUUCUAGCCUUGUAUAAGGUUAAAAGUGAUGACUUAGUUCCUUACUUCCAAUAUGCUACCCAACUGAUGGAAAAGUUUGAGCGAACCUCUUUAGUUCAUAUUCCAUGAAAGAAAACUAAAUGGCAGAUGCUCUAGCUAAUCUAGUUGCAAGUUUGACACUGCUUAAGGACGAGACUAUACACAUCACUCUUUGCCAUAAGUGGGUACUGCCGCCAUUGCCACUAUUACAACAAGAAGAAGUAAACGCUACAUCGGUAUUUACUAUUGACAACGAAGAUUGGCGACAACCAUUAAUUGACUACUUAGAGCAUGUGAAGUUACUUGAUGAACUAAGGCAUUGAACAUAAAUACGACAUUGAGCUCCAUACUUCAUUUACUACAAAGAAACACUUUAUCGAUGCUCAUUCCAUGGAGUACUUCUUCGAUGCCUAGAAGGAGAAGAGACAAAUCAAGCAAUUGAAGAAGCUCAUUCUGAGAUCUAUAGGGCUCACCAAUCAGGGCCAAAACUUCAUUUUCGAAUCAAAAGGAUGGGAUACUAUUGGCCAACUAUGGUUAAGGAUUGUAUGGAAUAUGAAAAGAAGUGUCAAUCAUGCCAAUUCCACUCAAAUUUUAUACACAACCCCUUGAGCCACUCCAUCCUACAAUUGCGUCAUUGUAGACCCUCAAUUUUGUCCCUUUAGCACAUGUCUUUAAGUUCGUUUUCAGUGCUUCAAAAUAGUUCCUUGGUGGCCCAUGGCUACUCAUACCACUUACCUUUUUCUGAGUCACCUCGGAGAUUUUGGUGGAGGAAUUAUUUGAUCCUUUAUUGUGACCCUUGGCAGCCCUAACUUAGACUUAGACUUUUCUUGUUUUUUUUUUUUUUUUUUUAGGAUAGCUUUUAGAUACAUUUGGCCCAUUUGGACAUUUUUAGCGUGACUUGUAUGACUUGCAUGGUUACAUGGCUUUUGGGCUCGACUUUUUGUUUAUUGGUUUAUUUUUAUUUUAUUUCAUUUUAUUUAUUUUUACCGUUUCCUAAUUUAUUUACUUGCUUAUUUAUUCAUUCAAUGAUUUAACUUCAAGAUUUUCAUGUUUUUGCAAGGAAACUUACCAUUGGAGUUUAAGGAAGGUGGGACUCUCCUUGGAAGGUUUUGGAGGGGAAUUUGAAAUUGAGAAGAUUGCUUUUGAUUGGAAGAUUUAAAAAAAGGAAGAAAAGAAGAAAGGAAAUAGGAGAAUUUUCCUUUUUGGAAAGAAAUUUAGGUCUUGAGGGGUGAUAUAUAUAGGUGAGAAAAGGAAAAGAGGGGGAAGGAUUUUUUUUGGGGGUAGAGCACGCGUUGGAGGAUUGGGAGGAGAUUUGAGGAGGUUCUUUUUGGAGCAGCAGGCAUUGGAGGAAAAUUUGUCGGGGAAAAGAACAGAGGAAACGAAAAGAGCAAUUGCAACCAAGGCUGUCCAGGUAUGCACCUCGUUGCUUUUGGAAUUCUGACCUAUGUUUGAUUUUUUUCCACGUGAAUAUUUAAUGGUAUUGUUGAUUUUGUGUGGACGAAAGGGGCCACAAUUUGUUUUGUUGAGAUUGGUUGCUUGCUUGUUUGCCUUGUUUUGGUUUUGAUUGUCAUUGAUGUCUUCGGAAGCAUAUAACUCCAUGCCUGAAUGUGAUCAGAUUCUGUUCUUCAUUUAAAUCAUAUUCUGCAUUUGUCUCUCUGUUUUUAGCCCAUGGAUUAAUAUCUGAAGUGGGGGCUAUCCAUGUUUACUGAUCAACACCUUCUGCCAUUUCCUUCUCCAAGUUUUACUUCAAUUUUUUUUAUCUUUUAUCUGUAUUCUUUUCCUCGCAUGGUGUUCGAACCCUUGCUCUUGUAUUUGGGUAUACGUCGAGGAAUGAUGUAAGUGUCAAUAUGAGGGAUGAACUGUGCAACAAUCCCACUCAAAAAUAAUUGAUUCCGAGGUAUUGUAAUGGAUUGUGGAGACUGGAGGUAACGUCUUAUUGGCAUCAGAUUUGACCUUUCUAAUCCUAUGGGAUUCAAUGGCUCGUACAGAAUCGCAACUCCGGUGUUAUUUGCAAGCAUAGCUAAAUGGGUUAAAGCCAAGCUAAUAUUUUCUCUUGCUUCCGAAUGAUCGCGUUAUCAUUGGCCAACAUCACUUCUACCCUUUCCAAUUUUCCAAGCGCUUCUGACCGUAAGAAUAAUGGUCUCAGAGAAAGCAAUUUGACUUGUAAAACAGAGGGUUUCAGAGAGUGUCAGGAAGGUGAUUGAUUUGGGUAGCACUGAAAAAGGAUGGUUUGAACUAGGGUUUUGAAUCACGCCUUGAGUUAUUAGAGCAGUACGAAGAAUUGCGGGAUACCAGUGAUGGAUUGAUGGGUUCGGUGCCGAUUCUGGGUCGUAUUACAGAUUUGGGGCAGAGACGAUUGGUGAUGGCAAUGGGAUUAAUGCAAAUCAGGGAGAUGCUAUUUUUGAGGAAACGUAGUUCACGGGUUUUAGGAAUGUAGUUUCAGAAUUUUCAGAGAUUCUUGAUGUAUUGUGUUAGAAUAUUCUGAAACAGUUUCAGUAUACCGAAGGAUCCAAUACGGGCUUAGCAAUUACUAUAAGGAACAGAAAGAAGGAAAUUGAUGCGACUUCUGCGAACAAGUAAGUUCCAGAUACUUCGGUUGGAAGAACCUUCUCAAUAAGGUGAUCAAUCAGAGGAGGUAUCUUGCACAGUAGACCUUUCUGAUUCUUUAUGUUAUCAACUUGAUCUUGUCUCUUUUGUCGCAUAUGUCAAUUCUGCUCAUUUAUGGAAUUCAAAAUCCUCAUUGUUGUUGCCUGAAAAAGAAAUUACGGCAAUUGGAGAAGACAAUCAGUCUGACCCUUUUUGUUGAAAAUUUUGUUUUGGAAAGAUUUUCUAUUUAAACCUCCCUGCGGGUACUAUUCGAUGAAGUCUUUGGUAAUAAAUUUCAGGAUGCUAUUGAAUUGAUAAGUAUGUAGCCAGUUGCUUCUAAUUUAGCAGCCUGGAAGAGAAUGCGAGUUGUUGAAUUCAUGCACAUGCGAUAUGCUCUGGAAUCUGUGGUGCUUGCAGUUGGAGCUAUGGAAAGAAGUACAUCUUAUCAUCUACUAUUGGUGAGAGAUAUAUUGUUCUUGCAAUGAAGCACCCUGCUGUCUUCUUAGAUAGCAGGUACAUUGACAAUGGGGAUAAGGAUAAGAAGACUUAUACGUCUUCUUAGAAUAUGGAGGAUUCACUCAAUACAAAAGUCACUCUUUUCGUCUCUGGAAUUGAGAAACCACAGUUUAGAGGAUGGAAUUAAAGUUUUUAUGCCCCAAGUUGCAGUAGCAGUUCUGGUAAUACUCAAACUCAGAGCAUCACGGGGUAUGACAGGAUGGCUGGAAUGGUGAUUGGAAGGCUCCUGGCGUCCAGAGAUUCCCUAAGUAGCAGUGGAAGUUUACUACUGGUGUAGCCAUGAUUGAAGUUACAGCUCCAUGUGUAUAUGCUAUCAAAAGAAGAAGGAUACGAGACUCUGAUUUUCCAUACCACUGGAAUGGGUGGAAGGGCUAUGGAGGAUCUGAUCAGAAGGGGAUUUAUACGAUGUGUUCUGGACAUAACAACAACAGAGGUUGCUGAUUAUGUAGUUGGAGGUGUUAUGGCUUGUGACAAUUCCCACCUUGACGUCAUGAAGAUAAGAAAUUUGUCGGCUUUGUAGCAAACGAACUAAACGAAACAGCAUCAAAGGUAAUGUUGACCCGAAUGAUUAGGCUCAUAUUCAGAAAGACAGAAUUUGAUCCAGACUCGAUUUCCUCUGGUUCUGCUACAAAUAAAGAAGUUGAAUUUCUGGACUGCACAAGGACCUUUUAGUUCUGAUUUUUCUUUAGGUGCCAAUCUUACCACAAUGGAAGAUGUCCAGAAUAGUUUUAAUGCAACGCAACUUAGGCUUUGUGGAAGGUUAAGCAAUGUUGAUGGCUAUAUAAUGCCGAUCAUCUUCCCAAGUGUUAUUCUCUGUGGCUGAGUUGUUUUCUGAAGCUGAAACAUAAAGACCCUCUCAAUAAGGCCGCCUCUAUGAAUCUUGCUCAGCAUGCACUGAUCAGCAAUUUCUGGUGAGAUCUCAGCCAGUUCCAGCUGAUAAGCAGGUGAACCAGGCAGGAAGGACCAAUUGGCAAACACUCUUGGGCUUUCCUGGUGGGCAUGAAACCCAGAAUUGCAAUGGGGUAGUUCAGAAUCUGAAUCUAGUUCGACUUGGAGGUCUGAGUCAGACAUUAUAUAAUUAGGAUGGCAAAGAAGACUCCUUACCUACAGCGGCCCAAAUUUAUUAAGUCGUCCUUUGACACUAAAGAGAUCACCGGUUUGCCCUUGAUAAAUUAAUGUCAUCAUGAGCAGAUUUUGUUCCUAUUCUUUAGCUGAGAAUCAAAUGCAUCACACCAUCGAACAGUUGAAAUCUUUGAGUAGGAGCAGAGAAUGAUGCAGAACAGAGAAAACAAUGACCCAGGUCCAACAGGUCUCAUGAGGUUUGAUGGUGAGAUCCGUUCAGCAAUGUUGGGAAGCAACUGGAAAUAUGGGCCUCAUGCUGCUGCAACUCACUUAGACUACAUGGUUGAGUUUACAGUCACUGUGCCAAUUUUGAGUCUUGCUGGAACAAUGGAUAACUUACCAGCUGGUGAACCAUGGCUGCAGAAACUAAAAGCGGAUUGAGCAGGAUGCAACUACUCUCAUUCCAGGAAACAAAGAACUGAAACCACACGAGUAGGACCCUUUGAACAAAAAUGCUGGUAUCAAUACACAUCCUACGUGCCCAUCUAUUAUUCAAUCCAAUUCUGAAGUCCCAGUCAUGUCACCUAGAAAAAGCAAAGGAGAAAUUCAAAGGGAACCCUUGGGCUUGAAAGGAAAGGUUCUUAGUCUUGGAAAGGUUCAGAAAAGCCGGAAGGUGUAGAAAGAAUUCAAGCAGCCACAGAAGGCUUCCUCCAAGCUGAUAGUACCACCUAGCACAGGUUUCGGUACCUUAACCUAUGGAUAUAGUUUGCUCUUGAGAGCGUUCCAUACAUUCGAAACGGCAUCAAUAAGUCACUACUUUUGGAUCAGCACUUGGAACUGGAUCUUAGUACUGUCAUGCUUGGCUGUUGCUUUUGGUUUUAGAAACAUGAACUGCUUAGGUAACGCAUCUGGCUUGGCAGUUAUAAUUAUAAUGUCAGUCACCACCUGCCUAAUGUCUCUGGUUGCUGUACUGUGCCGACACCAGAAUGUCUCCUCUAUAAUUGGCUCCAUGUUCUUCAUUGGCGUAAUUGAAGCUUUCUAUUUCUCAGCAUGGAUCUCUAAGCCACUCCUGAGCAUGCGUGUAAGAAUGGAUAGCAGGGCAGAUUUUCAGGUUCCUGGUCAGAGUGGAAUAAUGGGACAGCCAAAUGAAGACGAAUUCCCCAUGAACUUCCAAAAAUAGACUUAAUGAUAAGAAGAGAGGUGAAAAAGAAUUCAGUGGCUAUUCGAGAUGACUUUUAUGGAUGAAUUCGGUAGAGAAUUGAAAAGAAUUCAAGUGGUUGCAUAUGUGGGUGAGAUUCAAUAGCGUUAACGGAUACUCUUGAUGGCUGAAAUUUAAAAGAAAUGAUAGACUACAUAAGUGAGGUGAUUGAAUUUUAUAAAUAUGAUUAUGGGUUUUGAAUUACAUCGAGAUCAGCACUUGUUGAGAUUAUCAUAUUUAUGCUGGUAACAUUGCAAUCAUAUACGUUUUCAUCCCAAGAGUUUGAUCAUGCGUCAAAAUAUCUAGAAGCAGAGCAAAUUGAAACCUUUUCAAAAUCAGCAGUGGACAGAUUCUGUCCUAAAACACUUGAAGUUGGAGCAUACUGAGGCAGUUUAGUCUUCUGAAAUCCAUACCUAGUUUCCUGAUGAUUCAAGUUCUUUAUUUGACUUUUCCUUUAUAGAGAAAGCUCCUAGUGGCAUUGACCAGCCAGGAAUUCACCAUAUGCUUCAUCAACAAUAAUGUGCAAUUCAGGAAAAACGAGGUUGGAUGGUCAGAAGAAGACUUUGAAACUAGUUCAGGAUCUCAAUCUAGUGAAUCUGAUUUCUCCAGUUUCAGUCCAGAUGAGCUUCUGCAGUUAAUUGGUGAUGCAUCAGUUAUGGGAAAGGUCCUUCAUCAACUAGCACUUCACCUUUAUAAGAAUCCAUCAUGAUUCUCAGCACUUGCUGUUGUCUAUUUUCUGACAUGUAUUAAGCAAAGAUUGGUCUGAAGAGAGAUAAUACAUCCUCUAUCUAGUACACAGAUUCAGACGCUGAAUUCCGUGAUUAUGUUAGUGAGGUCACGAGGGAAGUGUGUAGGCAUCACUAUGCAAAGUGCCUUGAAGUUGUAUCAAUUCGUUUGCUGGAUAAUCGCCCACAAAUUAGCAAAAAUCAUCUUUCAAAAUAUAUGAAGUAUCCUACGUUUAUAGGAGAGCAAUUGAUCAUUCAACACCAAAUUGUUAUCUUCAGGGAAAUGUUGAUAUGAUUGGAGGUGCAAUAGCAUUGACUUGAGAUAGUCAACAGUAUGUGAUCACAGAGUUAGGAUAUUACAACAAGAAGAGUCCAAUGGGCUUAAAUCUUUUUGACAGAAAUUCUCAUCUAUCUUGGACUUUAAGCUAGCGUCUGAUGAAAAACAUCAGAAUCUUCACCCUAUUCUAUGAUAGAUGCAUGCAUUGCAGUAUGCUCGAGAUCAUUGUAGGCCUUUAUCCGAGAAGAAACAGAAUAGAGUGAACCAGGUGUUGAAUAAAGCCCGUGAUGAUGCUGAAAGUAGUGCCUAGAAGAACUCGUUAGAAAGUAACAAAGGCAAUGUCCUCUUUCCUCUCCUCUGAUGUGCCUUCUCCUGUUUGGAGUAUACCAAUAAUUCGGAAACUGCACUCUUUAUCUGUGACUUUACUUGAUGGAAACAAAGGGCAAGAUGGGAAGCCUCACAAGGAAGAGAAGCCUCAAAGUCUAUAUGAGAAUUUAGAAGAUUCUUUUGCCACAAAGGCAGCAGAAGAAAUAUGCUUGCAACAGAAAGAACUUAGGGUAUUUGAAAUUUCUGGAUUGGUGCUGCUCAAUGAGAAUAUACAGAAAAUCAAUCCAAAUGAACCACUAAAAGAAGAAUGCACUACUCUAGGUGAAGUAUCAUGGUUAGAGAAUCACAGAAACGCGUCUGCAAUAAAACGCUCAGAUUCUCCAAUAGAAAGUGACAGAACCAUGAAGCUGCCAGUAGAGGUGCCUGAGGGAGCUGAGGAACCUGCAGAAGAGUAUGAAAACAACAAAGAACUGAUCAUAGAGAAAGAGAGAGACAUCAAGGAAUUUCCAGCCGUGUCCAUUGAAGUUGAAUAGGUUAAAUAGGAACGGCAUUCUGAGACAAUACUCGCUGAAAAUCCUAGAAUGACAGAUUCUGAAGUGCAGACUAAAAAUGUGAACCUAUAGGAUUGUGGAAGACUUCAGCAAAGACUCUAAAAGAUUUCCCAUCACAAAAGCAAUGGAAGCAGAGAUGCUACAGAAACAGAGUGGUAAAAGGAAAGUGGAUGUCUCUGGUUCGGUAUCUGAAAUAUCAAAAGAAAUUAAUAAGGAGGUCAUAGAAGAUGCCAGCACUUGCUCUAACAAUAUUGAUGCUGCAUCCGAAGAGGGGAAAACAGAAGAGUCAAGCUUGUAGGAAACUCAACUGAAUGACAAAUACAAAAAGAUCAUUAAGACUAGCUCAGAAGAUAAGACACUAUAAGCAAAUACCACAAAUGAAACUAGUCCACAGGCUGAAGAGGUUGACAGCAUGAAGCUUGAAGAAACUUUUGAAUUGAUGUCUCAACUUCCAGUUAAGGCAUGUGAGAACACAAACAAGGAGAGUGAAACAGUGGAAAGGUCGAUUGAUAAUGUGCUGAAGAAACCGAUUAAAUCUUCUGGUAUAGUAUCAGAAUCCCAAGAACAAUGUGCUGAAGAAACUGAUUAGACCCUUAAGCUCUUCUCUAGCAGGGUCUUUGAUAUCAAAUGCCUGUCAGAACCCCCAUUCAGUAAACUGCUUCAAUUUGAGCUCAGGAAUCCAAGGAAGACACGGAUAAGGGAAAGUUGAUUACGCCAGAAUCUGUAUUUCUCAAGAGCAACUCAAGUUUACUGGAACUCUUCACCCUUCAUUGGAAUUCAAUAAAACUUUGAACAACAGAGAGCCACAGAAAAGUACUAAAGGAGGGCAGAAUGUAUUUUGGGAUUCAACAUCAGCAGGAUAGUCUCAAAUCUUAUUCCCAGGCUCCACUCCAUCAUGGCAACCUUGCUAUACACACCCUCUCCUCUAUUUACUUUUGUGAUUGGGAACUUACUAUUUUAAGUUGAAUUUUUGAACCAUUGUUCAACUAAACAUUCCCAGCUUUGAAAAAUCCAUCUUAGGAGCAUCUAGGUAUAAAAUCCCAAUUUUAACAUGCUAUUUGCUGCCAUUUUCCUCCGGGCAUGCACUUUCACUAUUUUAUCCGAUUUUUAACUAUUUUCAUGAUUUUCUCGAUUUUCUCAAGCAUGAACAAACUUCAUGAUUCCAAACAAUGGAAUUAAUAGAAUAAAUUCAUGCAAAAGUAAUCAGGGCAUUGGGGGGAGGCCCGACAUUCAUAAUAUUCUCUUCAAUAGUGUCUUGUUUGAUAUUUGAUUGAUUGUGCUUCCUCUUUGUGGUAUAUAUGAGAUUAUUUUGAAUUAGUUGUUGAGUUAAUUUUGUUUCCCAUAGAGGAUUAUUAACUCGCUAAUCAGGUACGCUCUUUCUACCACCACACUUUCCAAAAUUUCAUGAAUAUGAGACAUAACCAUAUUUGAUGCCAUAAUUGAUUGCUUUGAUGCUUGUUGGAUCGUCUUUGAUGAAAAUACAUAUUAUGUGUCAUAUUUCCAAACUAAUCUCUCAUGUUUUGUGAUAGUGUUUGAGAAGCCGUUCAGGUACGCACUUCGACUCUCUCUUAUGGUUGGUUUUCUUAUUAGGCAUGCAAUAUUUGAAAUCACCUAGCCUACUCAGGUAUCCAUAAUUAACUGAUUAAUGGCCACGCUUCCCUUAACUUAGUCAGUAGAGACCUCUUUAGGGCUUAGAGGGGUGCUACCUCCUAGAGGUACCUUCCCAAUAAGUAACCUGAUCCCCGAACCAAGACUUGGGUUUUCAAAGACACGCUUUUCCAAAAAUUAUGGAGUCAUUUUUUUAGGGUUUUAUUUCUUGUUUUAUUUUCCCUUCAAAAAUAAAAAUAAAAUAAGUGGCGACUCCAACUUUUUCAAAAAUCAAUUUUUCACAAUAAAAAGCGAGUCUCGUCGAUCGAGUGGGGACGCACGUGAAAAAUGCGGGUCCACAGUCAUGGCCAUUUGAUGCAUGGGGACUUGACGUGGUCAGACCCAUUACUCUUAAAUCCUUUGUUGGACAUGCUUACAUAUUGCAGCAACAUAUUAUUUUUCUAAAUGGGCAAAAGUUGUUCCACUUAAAGAAGUGAAUAAAGAAAAUGUAGUGAACUUCAUUCGAAGUAAUAUUAUCUAUCGGUAUAGGGUACCAUGAUAUAUAAUCACUGACAAUGGGAAACCCUUCUAUAGCAAAUUGAUGAUCAAUCUUUGUGAGAGGUUUAGUUUCAAACAACACAAUUCAUCAAUGUACAAUGCACCGACCAAUGGUCUCACAGAAGCAUUCAACAAGACUCUUUGCAACUUAUUGAAGAAAAUUGUUGAUAAUUCAAAGAGGGAUUGACAUGAAUGAGUAGGAGAAGCACUUUAGGCAUAUCAAACAACAUAUCGAACGCCUACACAAGCAACCCUUUAUUCCCUUGUUUAUGGUGUAGAAGUUGUAUUGCCCCUUGAGCGUCAGAUCCUUUCAUUAAGGAUUUCUAUACAUGAAGGACUAACUAAUGAAGAUAAUGCCAAGUUACAUCUUCAAGAGUUAGAAGCACUAGACGAAAAGUGACUCGAAGCCCAACAACACUUAGAGUAUUAUCAAGCACACCUUUCAAAAGCUUUAAAAAAAAAAGGUUUGUCUUCGGUCUUUUCAAGUCGGUGAUCUAGUUCUUGCCAUUCGUAGACCCAUUAUCACCACACAUAAGACUAGGAGUAAAUUUACAUCAAAAUGGGAUGGACCUUAUGUGGUGCAAGAAGUCUACACCAAUGGUGCUUAUAAGAUCGUCACUGAAGACGGAUUAAGAAUUGGCCCUAUCAAUGGAAAAUUCUUAAAGCGUUAUUAUGCUUGAGUCACACUACACCCUUAGCUUGCAUGAGCAUAAAUUAUGUCUGGAGCACCAAAAAAAAAAUAAAAAAAUCCGCUAAGUCGAAAACCUAAAAGGACGCCUUAGGUAAAAAUUAGGACAUAUGCUCACAAGAUUAAAAUUUUCUUUUAGCCUUGGCAAAAGUUAGAGCAUGAAAAAAAAAGGUGCUGCAUUUGACUUGAUCCUCUCUCUUUGAAAGGUAUGUAAGCAACUUGGGGAAACCACCUAAGUUCACUCACUACCAAAAAAAAAAAAAAAGGUCUCAUUUUUAUUAAUAAAUAAAUCUGACUAACAAAUGCUAGACUUUAUUACAUCUUAAUAAAAAAAAAUGAAUGAAAGCAAAAAAAAAAAGGGAGCCAAAACUAAGUAAAAAGGUACAAUGAUCACAUCCACACCAAGCAUGCAAGCUCGUCACGUUGAGUCCUUAAGGCUUCUUGAAGUGUCUCUAAAGUUUUGACAUCAACAUCAGUAAGCACAAGGGUUUGGGCGAUAAUGACAUGUUAUUUCCUCAAACGAGAAACAUCAUUAUGUUUAUUGGCUAUAAUCUCAUCAAUCUCCAAGAUUAAGUUAUGAAUGUGCUCUUUUUGUUUACCUAGUUGCUUAAAUUCCUUCUUAAGUGCUUCCUAUUUAGCAUCGAGAGUAGCUAAGUCUACCUUUAAUGAUUGACGAUGGUUUUCCUAUAUACACUUAGAGUUUAAAGCAUCCACAAUCUGAGAUGCAAUAAUAGCUAAACGUUCGCUUUGUACUUCUAGAGAUAUAUUUAUAGAAUGGGUGCGUCACAUUGCAUUGAGGUGAUCUACACUUUCCAUGUACUUCUCAAUCUGAGACUUUAAUGGUGAAGGGUUCACUCCAAUCUUUGUGAUAACAUUGAAAAGCUCAUCAAUUUUUCCUCUUAAUAAUGGGAGACAUUUAUUUGGAAAUUUUAAUAAUCAUCACCUUAGUGCCUUCUCCUAUCAUAAGUGCUUCUUGGCGUUAGGCAUUAAGGAUGAUUUGUUUGACGUCGAAUGUGUGAAUGGAAGUAGAAGGAGCAACCACGGUAGGACAUGUAGAUUGUUGUUCAGUAAUUAAACCUAUAAAUGCUAAAAUUGUUAAUUCAUCAUAUGUUGUAUCUCUAAUUGUGGUCUUUUGACCUCGAGAUUCAAUCAGAACAUCACUUAAGAUGUUAGUAAUACCUUUAUCACCCAAAUAAGAAUGAGACAAAGGUAAUGGGAUGAUAGAGUGAUUAUCUUGUUGUAUGGUCAAGGUAAAGGGUGCUGACUCCCUAAUAGCAAUAGUACUUUCGAACUGAUCCUUAGGAGAGGACUCAUCCCCUUCAUUGACAAAUUGGUUGUCACCCGCCACCUAAGGCAAAUAAUUAUUUUUGUUAGUAUCAAUGCAAAAAAAAAAAAAAAAAAACCUUUUCACCAUCAAGUUCCAUCGCUUGAGUAGAAGUUAGGACGUCAGCAAAGAAGACAUUUACAUCAAGAUGAUAAGAGUUAGUCUCAUCAUAGUACAUAGGGUUGGGUCUAAUUUUUUUCCAUUUGAAGUAACAUUCACUUGUAUCUUCAAAGUUUUUGUUUGAUACAUAAAGACCCUGUGCAUUGUUAUGUUGCUUAAAAGUCUUGUGACAGUGAGUAUUACCACCGUUGAAAAUAGUUUCCUCAUGCUCUGAGUGUGUGGAGGUAUUAGUUUGAUGUCCACCCAUUGAGCGCUUAGAAGAAGCUCUUGAAUCAUCAGGUAAAUCAUCAAAAUCCUUCUCAACAUUGUCUCUAAUAUUCCCCUUAGUAGAAACACUUAAGUCAACCUUGCGCGUUCUACUCUCUAAAGAUCUAGAGGGUAUUUGCCAAGAAGAAUUAGGAGGGGGCUCCAUACAAGUAGUAGUAAGAAUUUCUUUAUCAGGAUUACGUACUCUGAUCCACCAAUCCGCAUAAGCCAAUCUGGUAUAGUAACUUUGGAGUAGGUACCAAGCCUAGUACAUGACUGCCAAUGUUGAUACACCGCCUUUAAAGUUCUAGUGUGAAAAAUCUCUAGCGAACUCUCCGGAAGGUCUUGAAGAUAUACAAACUGCCUAGAAAACCGAUGAGGAUAAUACAGUUGGAUUACCCAAUGAUUACCUUGUCGCAAAGAUAAAUAGUUAGAGUGAAGACUUAUGAGAUAAGAAGCUUUGGUAACACUAAUAGAUUCAUUAUCAGUCCAGUGCACAUGCCUCUUGUGGCGCAAUGCCAAGUGGUCUAGCUUUACGCCUUUGCAAGACAUUAUCAAAGCCUAAGCUUGCAAAUCAUCAAAACACUUAACAAAAAACUCGCCAGUGUAAUAAGUCAUCCGUGGGGGAUGGCUCCAAGAAGGAGAAAUGAAAUGGGUAUCGAAAUAUUCAUUUAACCAUCCGUAUAAGUAAUGAAUAGGGAAAAUAGAUGCAUUAGUCCCAGGCUUUGAAGAAUAAGUGAUUUUAUUUAAGCUGUUGUAAAUACUUCCUAACACCAAAACAACAAGGCUAAAUGUCUCACCUUGAGCCAUUUUACUAGCUACCUUGAAGACUUUAGGAUGAAUCAAAUUGACACCUCCCAAGGAAGAACGAACUUGUAUAACCAACAUGCUAAGAAAGCGCCUAAGUAUCCUUCACAUCUGCCUCAGCUAUGCCAAGGUUGUAAAAAAUUUCCAUCUCUGACUGAAUACGAGAUUUAAUAGGAUCAAUUUCCCCAGAGGGGUUAUGAGUCUCCUUAGGCCUUUACGCCUUAUUCCUUGUACUUUUAUUUGGAAGUUUUGCAUACUUCAUGGAGCCUUUAUACCAAAAUGACACCCAAGAGGCUAACUUGACUGAAGACUUCCCUUUCGUGUUAGAGCAAAUUCGAUGAUAUGCAAGGAAUAAGUUUUGACAACUUGGUGGGAGUGAGGGCUUUGUCACAUCAUUAGAUAACUCUUCCAUGCUCGGUACCAUCUCAUCAUAAAAAGAUCCAAUGAUGGGUAGUCCAACAAUAUGAUACAAGUCCCAAAGAGAGAUGGAAACCUCUCUAAUGGAAGUAUGCAAGGUGUUAGUGGUAGGACACCAACGUUCACAAAAGGCCCUAAUCACAGAGGCAUGACAAUCAUAGCUGAAUAAGGACGCAAAAAUAGCUUCAUAAAGCUUACAUCCUUUAAGAAAUGGUCCAUGCCGGUCCAAUACCUCCUCUACCCAUUCCCAAUAUCCUUCGAUAAAGAAAUAUUCCCUUAGUACUUUGAAUGAACUUCCCCAUUUAGCUUCUCCGUCAUGAACACAAGAACCAAACUAUCCAAAUUCAUCAUGAACUUUAGUAGUAGUUGGGUGAGAGGAAUUCAACAACAGAACAUCAGAAACAAGUUUCACCUUAUUGAGUUUUGAAUUGCCGAUAUUUGUAAGCUUGCAAGAUGCAACUCGGGACAAGGAAGAAAUGUGUAAUGGGUCCUUUGUCACUGGUACUGACAAAGAUUGAAGGUCAGUAAGUGACUUAUGCACUGACAAGGUAGUCCCCUCCUCAAAAUCUUCACUAUCAUCCUCAAGAAUAGUUACAAUCUUCUAUUUGAAACAUUUGAAGAACGCCAUCCUACAUAAAAAGGAAAAAGAAGGUAGAGAGAGAGAUAAAUAAAACAUGGGUAUAAGUUUUUAGAUACCACUAUGCAUUUAAGUCAGAUCAAUUCACAUGAGUGAAGACCUUAGCACUUAAGUCAUAUAAAGUGUUGAAAGUACAAUACCGCAUAGCAUCAGGGCCAUAACUUGUUUGCAUAGAUACCGAGUAUUAUUCUAGUUUUAAUUAAAUGUUAAAACUUGAACACAACUAUGCAUUCAAGUCAAGACAAUUUGCAUAGGUGAAGACUUUAGCACAUAAGUGUUGAAAAUACAACACCGCAUAACAUUAGGGCCAUAACUUGUCUACAUAGAUAACAAGUAUUAUUAUGGUUUUAAUUAAAUAUUAAAACUUGAACACCACUAUGCAUUCAAGUCAAUCCAAUUUGCAUGGGUGAAGACUUUAGCACAUAAGUGCUAAAAAUACGACACCGCUUCGCGUCAAGGCUACGAAUUGAUUACAUGAGGGUCAAACUUUAAAUAUUCAUAUGUUUUUUUAUUUUUUAUUUUUAUUUAUUUUUUAUUUUUUAUUUUAUGGAUAUUUAAGUUUAUUAAAAAUUUCCCUCAAGUACUAAGGUAAUUUAAAAAUAAAUAAAUAAAUAAAAUUAAAUUACCUGAAAUCAAAUUCGUCUCUACGAAUAAUGGAGGCUAACAUGUGUUCGAAAAAGGUGAAUCUUUUUCUUCCUUGACAAAAAAAAAAUGAAUAAAAAGAUCACGUGUCAACAUAUAUAUAUAUAUAUCCAUCCAUUUUUUCAGGAGAUCACGUGAAUGGAUUUUAUAUAUAUAUACAUAUAUUAAAUCCUCAUCCUUACAUCAAUAUAUAGAUAUAUAGCCUAGUGAUGACGUCUCCCAAGGCAACCAACAUUGAGGCUCUGUCCCCAUUGACUUCGACAUACACCCACCAAGCUCCAAAAUAUAUAUAUGCAUUUAAAAAAAAAAUACUUACAGGUUUGAAGAGGUGAAGACUUCUUACGGUAAUUCAAGUCAAGUUUCUUAAAAUUGGGUUGAAAAUCACCCAAAAAUUCAAAAAAAAUAAAAGAAUAUGAAAGGAUUCAAGUCGGGUUUCUCAAGUUGGGUCAAAGAACACUCAAAGAUCAAAAAAGCUCUUUGAAAAAGUUCAAGUCAAAUUUCUUAGCUAUUGUCCCUUUUAUAUAUAAAAAAAACGUAUAUGGGGAUGACAAAUUGGAAGAUGAUUGAAAGUGUAAAGUAAGAAGGAAAACAAAUUGGAAGAGGAUUCAAAGUGUAAAGCAAAAAAGGAAAACAAAGUGGAGUUUGGAAAAAAGUGGGAAAGAAAUAUUUUUUUUGGAAAAAAAAAAAACUUCAAGACUCACCCCAUCCACAUGACAAUGCAUAUAUGUGAUGCGUCUUGAAGUGGGGGUAUUUGUAGACAUAAAAAAAAUUAGUGGAUUAAAUUACCACUAAUUUUGUUUUCAAAAUGAAUAAAAAAAAUCCUCUUAUGGAUAAGUUUCUCUAAUCUCCAACUAUAGAAAGGAUAAUAAUAACAAUAAAAAAACUAUUAUUAUUAUUAUUAUUAUUAUUAUUAUUAUUAUUAUUAUCUUGUUGGUAAAACCUUCCAGGAUUUUUUUUUUCUAAAAUCAAGGAACUAAAUCCUUUAAAUUAAGCAACUAAACUCUGAGAAUUUGAAAUUCAAAUUUUAUAUCUUCACCUAUAAAUAGAGGUGUCUUUUUUCAAGAAAGGAGGGGAAGAAAUCGAGAAAAAAAAAUCCAGAAAGGAAAAUCUUAAGGAGGAAAUCCAAAGGAAACUUUGUAUGGGAAAAGGGGCUUCACAACAAAAGAAAAAGCUUCAUCAAAUUUCUCUGCAAGUUCGGUACAUGGUAGAACUGCUAAACACGCUCACCGCUAUUUAACGAGUUCAUUAAGGAAUAAGCCACUUGUGGCCCUCAAUUGAUCUUCGAAAUUAAGAAAAUGUCAUCGUUGUUUUCCAAAGUGUGAUCAAGAUGAAAGAAUCAGAGGGAUAAUAUUUUUUUGGAAAUAAUAUUAUUUUUGAGAUUGUACCCACAAUAUUUUUAAUUUUAAUAAAUAUUUUGUUUGCAUUAUUUUCCUAUUUGUUUUGCUAAUUUUGUAGGACCAUUUACGAAAUUUAUGUGUACAUACUCUUUUAUGAACAAGGUAGUGUAGAAAAAGUGUAACACUUUUUUUUUUAACUCAGGUAACUCAAGUAAUAUAUCAUUUCUACCAUAGUGAAUCCAUUCUUCUUCUUUAGCGUAUAAAAAGUGACUCCGUUCUUCUUUAGCACAUUAACUUGAAUACGCAACUCAAGUAAUAUAUCAUUUCUACCAUAGUACUUUUAGCAUUUUAGUGGUAUUUUUUUUCUCAUAAAAAUGUGUACCCUUUGAAUAAGCAACCUUUGAGGUGCACAACUUAAUGUUUUAAGAGGGUGCACUAUUUUUUCCUAGCGCAUUUGAAAUGUGUACAACUUCACUAUGCAAAAAAACAUUAUUUUUUAAUAAAAUUAAGAUCAAAUUAAUAUAAAUGAUUAAAUACAAUUUUUAUGAAAAAAAUAUAUUUUAUUUUUUAUUUAUAUAAAUAAAAAUAAAAAAUUUAAUAAAACAAAAUAUUAGAGCCACAACCAAUUUUCUAUCUUAUAUAAUUAAAAAUAUUAAACAUUUUAACCAAGAAGAAAAUUAAAAUUGUGAUCAAGUUACAUCCAUAAGCAAAAAGUUAAAAUAGUGAUUAUCGACUCUAACUUUCACAUAAAAAUUUAACAAUUUUUUAAAAAUAUAAACAAUAAAAUAAUAUGACAAUGUAAUAGGAUUAUAAAAUAAAUAGAUAUUUUAUUUAGGAGGAAUAUAGAAAAUCUUAUGUCCUAAGCUUCUAAAUUUGUUCAUAAUGAAUUUAUUUUUAUAUUAAAUUUGUUUUCAUUAAUUAUUUCUUAUAUAUUUUUAUUUUGUGUCUAGAAUAUCCAUAAAUAAUUGAAAUCGGUAAAUGUAAAAGAAGAAAUAAUGAAAAAAUAAAAUUAAAAAGAUUUCAUGAAGUCAACACAUUAGAAAAUAAGAACAGAAAGGUAGAGAUAUUACGAAGGAGAGGAAAAAGAAAAAAGAAAAAUCAUAUGACAUGGUUGUCAUAUUAAAGUAAAAAGAAAAAAAAAUAAAAUUUUGUAGUAAUUAACUGUGAAAGGAGAUCGAGGGUUACAGGGUAAUUUUAAAAUUUUGAUGAUUUCACUAUUGAAAUACAUGUUUCUAGAAUUAAUUUUUCCAAGAUGUAUGUACUUUAAAAUUUAAAAUUUAAAACUUUAAAUUUUUUAUAUUUUUUAGUUGUUGCAUGAAUAUUACAUCAUUCUCCAUGAAUAGAAUGUGAUAGGGCAUGGUUUUUAAAUCACUUUUAUAAUAAUUUUUUUAUAAUUAACAAGUUUGGCAAAAGAUAUUCUUAAAUGAUUUAAUUUAUAUUCAAUGCUAGUAGUCAUUUUAAUUGGAUAAACUUUUCAAAAGCAAAUUUGAAGAAUUUGGGUCAAAUGUAAUGUGCAUUUUUGUAGGGCCCUCCCAAUGGACCUCGUAAUGCCAAAACUUCUGGCCUUCAUGUUUUGUCAACUUGUUCACACAAUAAGCUCACGAGCUUUACCUUGCUUUAUCUUGUGAGACUUUGAUAUAUGCUUUGUUUGUAUUAAAGAGGUAAAAAAGUUCUUAACCACCAUUCCAUUUUGCACUAAAAAAAAAUUGAUAUAGACAUGCCAAUUGACUUUGUGUGUCAAAUAUUGUCAUGAUGCAUAUGAGAAAAUAAUGUGUCAUUUGACUCCUUUGAGUCAAAUCUUGCCUUUAAGUACAGAGAAAUAUUUGAGAAAUCGCAAGCAUUUUUUCUUUGUUGUUCAUUAAUAUAUGGAAUAGGUUGACCUUUGAAUUAGUCAAGGACAUGGUAGGUCUUUUGGUCUUAUUUUUACUCAAAUUUAUUUGACUCAAAACUGAAGUAGCAUUAAAAAUGAUACUUCAUGUGGUUGUAAAUUUACAUUUCCUAAGGGUUUUCUUCCCUAUUUGAACCAAAAAUUGAUUUUUAGGGUUAGAGGAACACCUCCCCUACAACAGUCAGACAAACUCCAUUGAGUUCCUCUUCCAUUCAAAGAGUGGGUGUGUUUGUUUCCCAAGAAAAUCUAACCCAUUUUAAGUUCAAAAUAAAUUUUUAUCAAAUUUUUCUUUAGAGCUUGGGUUGAUUCAUUUGGUUCUUCCAAAGAUGAGAACUUUUAACUCAAUGACCCAAUCAAAUUACAUGCAUAAUAACAUGAAAAUCUAGAAACUUAAGUAUUACCGUUUCUAAAUAUGACAACUUUUAAUUCAACAACCCAAUCAAAUAAUCAUGCAUAAUAACGAGAAAAAUCUAAAAACCUAAGAACUACCGUUUCCGAAGAUAUGGACUUUUAAUCUAAUAAACCCAUCAAAUAACAUGCAUAGUAACAAGAGAAUCUAAAACCCCUAAGAACUAACAUUGCCAAUUUAACCCAAUAACCCAAUCAACUAACAUGCAUAAUAACUAGAGAAUAUAAAAAAACCCUAAGAACUAAUCAUUGAAACAUGAAAAUUUUGAUAGUAUGGGAAUAACCUAUAAACCUUAAAAUUAUCAAACUUUGAAAAGUAAGAUUUUUAAUAAAAUAGCAUUCUAACACCAUGAAUGAUAACUAGAAAAUUUAAAACCGAACCAAAAUUUUCAAGAUAAGACUUCUAAGAAAAUAGCAUUUUGAUAACAUGAAUAGUAACUAGAAAAAUUAAAACCUAACCAAAAUGUUCAAGAUGAGACUUUCAAUGAAAUAGAAUUCUAAUAUCAUAAAAUAUGUUCCAAAAAAUUUAAAACCUAACCAAAUUUUUGUAUAACCAACUUUUCAAGAUGGGAAUUUUUAAUAAAGUAACAUUCUAAUAACAUAAGAAGUGUACUUGAAUAUGUCUAAGUAUGUUGUCCUAAAGGAGCACUUAAAAAGAAGCUAUUCUAAAAAGAGAAAAGGAAAAUCCUAGAUCUAACUUGGGGUUUCCAAGGGUCACAAUGAGGGGCUAGAUAAAUCCCUCAACUAGAGUCUUUGAGAUGGCUAAAAAAGGUAAGUUGUGUGAGUUGAAAAUGGGCCACCAGGGAGACUACUGCAAAGUAUGAAAAUAGCACUUAAUAGGGCAUGUGCUAACGUAACAAAUGGAAAGUCUACACUUGCAUGCUAGAUUUAUUCUAAGUUGUGCUCACAUCUAUUUUGCAAGGUUGUUUUAUUCAUCUCAUGGACCCUAAGGAUGAAUGAAUGAAAUGCUUUUAUUAAUUCAAUUGAAUGAAUGAAUAUGAAUGGAUAUGAUCUUUGCCAUUUGAUUCUCUAGUUUGGGUUGUGCACCCCAUGAGGGGUACAAGAUUUUUAUUUUAUUGUAAAAAUAUUUUCUUUUCAAUAGAUGGGUUGUAAGCUCCAUUAUAGGAGCAUAUAAUUUUAUUUUUUAUUUUUUUGAUUGUAAAUUUUUUUUUUUAUCCAUUUAUGGUGACCCAAAAGGAAAGGAAAAAUUCUUAAAUUUUCAUUUUUGAGAUCCUAUGGUGACUUAAGAAAAAAGAAAGAUUCUUGAAAGUUCUUGAUUUGAGAUCCUAAUUUGACUCAAAAUUGGGACAAAUCAUAUAUGGUUUUGAAGCUUAGGAAGUUAGGAAUCCAAUGCUUCAAACAAUUUUCUAUUCGGAGUUGAAAUGAGGAAGAUAUAGUCAAUUGAAGUAAGGUUGUACAAAGAGCAUACUAUUUCAGAAUUAAGUUCGGGCCAAAUUGUUUUUGGUUAUUUGGGCUUCUUUUUUAGCUUUUUUUUUUUUUUUUUUUUUUUUUGUGGAAAUUCGACAUUUUAGGGUUUUGUCAAUUUUUACUAACUAAUCUUUGGUUGUAAGAAUAUUUUGAUAAUUUGAAUUUUGUCCAAUUUUUAAUUACCAAAUAUGCAAUAGGAUCCCUAAAGUUCAUGAGAAAUAUUUAUUUAAUUAUUUCCUUGUUUUUAUUUUAUGUUAUCUUUAUUACUUGCUUAUGUGACCUAAAAUAGGAUAAUUUGGUAUUCUUAAUUAGAUAUAAAUUUUCAUGGGCUUUUUCAAAAUAGGAAAACUUAUUUAAAUUGGAAUGUGUAUUGUUAGGAAAUUUAUUUUAAGAAAAGAUAAGUUAGAAAAGAAUUAAGAGUUUCCAUUCCUUUUAAAAAUUAAUUCUUAAUGAUUUUAAUUUUAUUUAAAAUUUUCUUAGAUCUUUGAGAUCUCUAAGAAUAAAAUCUUUCUUUUAAUGAAAAAACUCUUGUUUUUCCAAAUCUUUAUAAAAUAAUAUUUUUCCUAUUUUGCACAAGGUUUUGAUUUAAAGAAAAUAAGUUGAUUUUGAAAAUUCAUAAUAGAUAAUUUAUAAUUAAGAAGGUUACCAAAAUAAGUAUUCAAACCUAAAGAAAAAUGUUUUGGUAUUCUCUAUAAAUUUUCAUGAAAAGAUUUUUCCAAGAUUAUAUAUUUGAAUUGGUUGUUGCUAAUGAGAAUCUUAUUCAUUUGGAACUAUCAUUUUGAUUUUGGUAUAGAUGCUUCUCCAAGCUACUACACCAUACCUAAGAUGGUCCUUCAGGCUCUCUCCUCCUGAGAUAAGGAGGAAACCCCUAUUUGGAUAUGGAUAGUUCAAAAAUAAAGACUAAGAGAGCAAUUUUGUUUAGCAAACGAGUCUUAGUUUAAAAGAUAAAUAACGGAUUUGAAAAACCUCAUGAUAAGAAGGGUUUUCAAUCUUGUAUGUAGAGGUGUCUAAUGGGUCGUGUUGGGCUGACAUGACCUAAUAUUGAUCGGGCCAUUAGGGGCCAAUGUGUCGGGUUGGGUCGACCCAUGCAAGCCAAAUAGGUGACUCGACACGGCCCAUAAGUCCAUGGGCUAAUCGUGUCAUGCUGGGUCGGGUCGUGCUGUGCCGGUGGGCCAUGGCCCAUGGGCCACUCACUUUGUUAAAAAUUUUAAUUUAAUUUUUUAAGUCAUUUUUUCUUAAGUUUUUUCCUUAUUAAAUAAAUUUUAUUUUUGUUACUUUAAACACCUCUAAUAAUUAUAUUUUUAUUUUAUUUUUUAUAUACUUCUAAUAAUUAUACUUUUUAUUUUUUACAUUUAUAUUUAUUGAGUUUGUAAUUGUAAAAUUUAUAGAAAUAUUAGUUUUUUGUUUUUAAAAAUAGUAAAAAAAAAUUACAUUUGAAUUUGUUUAUUUUAUUUUUAUCAAAAUAACAAUAAAUUUAAAAUAAUGGAAUAUAAAAGGAAAUGAAAUAUAAAAAAAUAAUUCUUUUAUUCAAUAUUUCAACAAAUUACAUGAAAAAAUAAUGAGAAAAAAAAAACAAAAGUGAGAAUUGCAUCACUAUAGUUUGAGUACAUCCCAACUAGGUUGGCACCCACCCAACUAUCAAUCAUAUGCAUUACUUAACCUUUAAAAAUUAACUACAUUUAAUAGAUUUAAAAGAAACGAACAACAUAUAAUUCUUCAAUUAUCAUAUUCACUUUUGUCUUCUUAUUCAAUCUUCAUUCUUAUUUUUUCAUCUUCAAUCAUCAUCAAUCUCUUGAACAUCAUUGUUUGCAUUGAGAUGCAAUUUCUUGAAGGCUUCUUUAAGUUCAUCCUCUAAAGUUUGACAUGAAAAAAGUAAAAAUAGUUAUUGAUUUACUUUUUUUACCCCUCAAACUAGUUGUAAUAUAAUUGUUAAGAGGGGUAUUAUAGACAUUUGACAUGUAAUAAAAAGUAAACACUAAAAGGUGAAAUUUAAAAGGGCCAAGUGGGUCGACACGGUGGGCCGACGGGUUGUUUCUUUAGGCCUAGCAUGGCCUGCUCCUUUGGGUCGUGUUGUCUUAGCUUGCUAUAGUGUUAGGCCAUACUGGCCUUGCCUGACCUUUUGGCGUGCCGAGCCACGGGCCAAAAUGGGCAGCCCGACCCAAUGACCCAGAUUUCAUUAUACAUUUGAAUGGUUUGAAUUGGAAGUUUGAUUUAGGACAAAAUCAAUAACCAUUAAAAAAAGAAAGAAUAUUGUAACACCGUUCAUACCUAUUGACUUUCGUUUUUAAUACUAUUGAAAAUUUUCACGAAUGAGAAGGCAACAAAGCAAGAAUUCUUAAGAUUCUAACUAUGCUACAGUCAUGAAAGAAGAAAAAGGGGGGAGAAGUAAUGUUUUUAUACUACAACCCACAAUCAUGAAAUAAGAAAAAAGAAAAUUCCAAAAAAUAUAGACCAAACAACAAGAACUUGCUUAGGCAUCUUCUAUACGUGAUCCUUUCUUGUCACUUGUUUUUUUUCCAUACUGGAAUGUAAAAUCCUACCAUGAGUGUUAAAAUAAGAUUGCCAUACUUAUUAACCAAUUAGUGAGUAAUUCCUACAAGUGAUAGUUUCUUAUAAUACACAUAUUUCUUGUUUACUUGAGCGCUAGUAGUAAUGAUCAUAAUUUUAAUAUAUUGAGAAUGUAAAAUUUUCUAGCAACAAAUAUAUUUAGCCCAUUGUAUUACAAAAAAGUACUAAAUGAAGAAAAAAAAUAGAGAUGGAAAGAAAUCUAAAUUCUCUUUAGUUCAAAGGUAUAAAAUAAAAUCAAAUAUAAUAAAAAAAUUCAAAAUUUUUCAAUCUUUAUGUAGAAUAGAAAAAAGAAGAAGAAAAAGGAUACUCUUGGUGAAACAUGUAAGAAAUGUUAAUUGAAUUUAAAUUUAUUUUUCAUUUUAUUAUUUUUUUAAAAACUUUUUAUUGUUUUAAAUUAAGAAAUAUACUAAAGACAUAGGUUUUAGUGAUUGCCAUAUGUUGGUAAUAAGCAGGGAAUGUCACUAAAAAAUACAAUAUAUUUUAAUUAAAUGUUACCAAGUAUUGUAUAAUGAAUGAGAGAUGAAUGUUCAAAGAACUCAACCCCUUUUUCUUUUUAGAAAAUCCAUUAGAAAAUUUUUCUUGAAGACUUGAAUAAGAUUUCCUUGGAAAGCAAACAACCUCCAAAAGAGGAAGGGAAUGAAGAGCUCACUCACCGAUUGUUGCUCUCUACAAGCUCUCUCCUCCUGAGAUAAGGAAGAAACCCCUAUUUGGAUAUGGAUAGUUCAAAGAUAAGGACUAAUUAGAAAACAAUUUUUUUAACACACGAGUCUUAGUUUAAAAAAUAAAUAACGGAUUUGAAAAAUCUCAUGAUAAGAAGGGUUUUCAAUCUUGUAUAUUUAUAUUGUCAUUCAAUGACUUAAAUUUCAUUAUACAUUUGAAUGGUCUGAAUUGAAAGUUUGAUGUAGGACAAAAUCAAUACCCAUUAAAAAAGGAAAGAAUAUCGUAACACCAUUCAUACCUAUUGACUCUCCUUUUUAAUACUAUUGAAAAUUUUCACAAAUGAGAAAGCAACAAAGCAAGGAUUCCUAAGAUUCUAACUAUGCUACAAUCAUGAAAGAAGAACAAAGAAAAUUCCAAAAAUAUAGACCAAACAACAAGAACUUGCUUGGGCAUCUUCAGUAAGUGAUCAUUUCUUGUCACUUGUUUUUUUCCAUAUUGGAAUGUAAAAUCCUACCAUGAGUGUUAAGAUAAGAUUGCCAUAAAAGAAAUUAUCAAAUAUGACAAUAUUUUUUCUAAUUUUCAAAGAAUUAUCAAAUAUGACACUAAAUUUUCAAAAUAACACUAAAUUUCUUUCUAUUUUGGAUUUAAAAGUGAGUAGUAAAACUAAAAUUAUCAAAUAUGACAAUAUUUUUUCUAUUUUUCAAAGAAUUUCGAAAGCAUUAUAUUUAAUUAAAAACACUUGGCUGAUAAAUAAAUAAACUGAAAACAUGGGAAUUCUGGAGAGCUACGAAACGGAGAUAAGAAUAUAAUUAAGGAAAAUGAAAGUGAAAGCCAAGGAAUGAGCAUCAUCACCUCCUAGAAGUAUCUAACCCACCUCGCUGAAGUUUGCUAUAAAUACCUAACAAUUUCCCUUGAGUUCAUCAAUGCUUGAGUUUGAAUCUUAUCAAUCACAGUAGUAGCAAUGGCAGACGAGAUUAUCUUGUUGGAUUUCUGGCCUAGCCCGUUUGGUAUGAGGGUCAGAGUUGCCCUGGCAGAGAAGGGUCUCAAGUAUGAAUAUAGAGAGGAGGACCCGAGGAACAAGAACCCUCUGCUUCUUGAGAUGAACCCCGUUCAUAAGAAAAUCCCAGUUCUGAUCCACAAUGGAAAGCCCAUUUGUGAGUCUAUGAUAAUAGUUCAGUAUAUUGAUGAGGUUUGGAACAAAAAAUCUCCGUUGUUGCCUAGUGACCCAUACCAGAGAGCUCAGGCCAGGUUCUGGGCGGACUACAUAGACAAGAAGGUAUGCCUUUUCUGUUGAUUUAAAGCAUUCUUUUCCAUUGAUUCAUGGCGAUUGACUCACAUUUUGAUUAUGGUGAGGGAUUUAUCCAAAAUGCUAGUUCUUCACAUAUUCUCUUCUGAUAUUGAGUUUUGUUGGCUUUGGUGUCCCAAACUAGAACUUUACUGAUUCUCUUGCUGUUUCUUCAACAAGACUCCCCUCUGCAUUUCUGAUAUGGGUUUUUAUUUCUUUGUUCUGUUGAAUCCGACGUCUGUUCGUUCCAUCCAAAAAAGCAGAUCUCAAGAAUACCUUUUCCCCCAAGAAAGGGAAUACAUAAACCAGAAUUUUAAAGAACAGAUUUUGGUUUUUCGUUAUCCUGCUGUUCAACAUUUUGCACAACAGUUGUUUUAAUAUAUGUUCUGUCUUUUUGAUCUCUUUCUUCUCAUUUCUUUAACACAAAUUGAGGGGAAAAACUUUAGCAAAUGAUACAUUCUUUCAACUGAUUCUGAUAUUUUUCCUAGGAUACGAGAUUUCUAUGCCGAAGGGUCGUUAAUAAACUUGCCCAACUAUACAGAAAGUUUGAAACUUGAUGAAAUGCUUCCAAAAGAAAAAAAAAAAACCCUUUUCUCUCUUUGACUCCAUUACUUUCCACAGCUCUAUGAACUUGGAAGGAGGAUAUGGUCAACCAAAGGAGAAGAGCAGGAAACAGCCAAGAAUGAAUUCAUAGAGUACCUUAAGAUUUUGGAAGGAGAGCUUGGAGAGAAGCCUUACUUCGGUGGUGAGAAAUUUGGGUUUGUGGAUGUGGCUCUGGUGAC
This 56121-nucleotide long non-coding RNA is filed under the name Vitis vinifera (wine grape). RNAcentral describes it as "long non-coding RNA (VVIN_LNC006642)". The record is from RNAcentral. Lineage: Eukaryota; Viridiplantae; Streptophyta; Magnoliopsida; Vitales; Vitaceae.